AUCGAUGAGGUGUCGAGCCCCCAGAUGGCUAAGUAGCUCUCGCUAGAUACGUGGCGACGCGUCAGAAGACAUAUUAUGACCAGUUCACACCCGUCCAGAGGCGUGUCAAGACACCAAGCCAUGGCCAACUAAUAGGUGGCAGGAGCUUGCGGGGAAAACACCCCCGCUGGCCACCUAAGGUUGCAUUUGUAGCACUUUGUCUUAAGUGCCAGAGUUAGGUAUGAUAGCACUGUUAGCUAUCUAAUCAUAUCUGUUUGCCAUUGUGGACGCCCCUUGCGCUAUAAAAGGAGCCCCAAGGCAACGUAGCAAAUGAUUCGACACUCUGAGGAUUCGGACCCACGGGAUUUAGGACUCAAGAGUAUUUACACACAGUAGUUCUCCGUGGCAACCCUUGGCGGGGCAGAACACAGUGUAAACUAUGUCUUCCCCAAAUCAAACCACCAAAGAAGGAGGAGGGUUUUACGCUUCUCAGCAGCCUGAACCUGGGUAAACGCUUGAGUCUCAUCAUCGUGUAACCUCGAAGUUUCUGCUCUUUGUGCAUCAUGAUCUCCCCGCCGAACCACGAAGGGGCCAAUGGUCCCAUAGGUGAUCGAGUGCACACACCUGCCUCGACACUUGGGCGCCUCAAGCAGAAGGUUCAGGAUAUGGGAGACCUCAUGGAUGUCUUUACCAGGUAUGCUAAGUAUGAUAGCACCAAAGAUCCCGGCUCAGAAGAGGAUAAAUCUCGCAAGGGGAAGAAGCAUGACAACUACAAAGGUCACCAGCAACACAAUUCUAGGCAUGAGGGAAAUCAAAAUAACCAGGGCAAUGGUGGAAAACGCAAGCAUCUAGAUGGCGGGUCCGAUUUUAUUGCUAAUGCCAACACUGGUUUGAAAAACCAAUGACGAAACAACAACUCUGGCAGAGUUUAUAUCAGGGAGCCACACAAUUAAGAAGAAGCGCUCAAGGCUCCUUGUCCGAAGCAAAGUUUCCCCGAUAAGCCUUCCACUCACUCGUGGGAAAAUUGCCACUUUAUGCAGGCGUUCCACAAUCAAGUUUUCCAAAACUUUCAAGGAGGCAAUGGUGGCGGCAAUACAGGUCAUCCUGACAGGUUUAGUGGCGGCUCAUCUGGGGGCUUAGCAGGUCCAAACUGCCAUGGAUUAGGCAGCUCAAGCGCGGGUUAUCGAGACUGUGGCCAUAACCACAAUGGGUAGGAACGCUCGGGACAAGGAAAUCGGCAGCAUGAUAACCAAGCAGGUUUUCAAAGUAAUCCCAAGUAAUUGAGGAGCGGACAAUAUGGUGUGUUCACCACGAGUACUUACAGGCGGGAGAGUAAGGUUAAAAAGAGGGCCAUCAAUAUGGUCGAGCCGACAACCCCCACGUAUUUGAAUUGGUCUGAAUACCCAAUCACAUGGAGCAGAGAGGAUCAUCCAGAUCGGGUUGAUAAUAUGGGUGGUCCGGCUCUAUUGGUGGCACCUCAGGUGGGAGGUUAUAUUCUCAACAAAGUUCUCAUGGACGGAGGAAGCAGCAUCAACAUCUUAUAAUAUGACACCUUCCGACGCAUGAACCUUUCUAAGGACAAGUUACACCCAUCUUCUACACUCUNNNNNNNNNNNNNNNNNNNNNNNNNNNNNCACUCUUUCGUGGAAUCAUUCCUGGAAAACCUGCAUAUAUAAUUGGCCGGAUCAAACUAGAUGUUGCAUUUGGCUCAGAGUUCAAUUAUAGAUGUGAAUCUCUGAUGUUUGAGGUGGUCAAAAUUAAGAGACCAUAUCAUGCUCUUUUAGGACGGUCGGCUUAUUCUUAGUUCACGCUUGUCCCUAUUACAUCUAUCUCAAGCUUAAUAUGCCAGGGAAGCAUGGUACCAUCACAGUCGAUAGGAGUCGAAAACUCGCCUAGGAGUGCGAGGAAGGAGAUGCAGCUUUUAUGGAGUCAGAUUGUGCUGCAGAGGAAUUAAAGUACUAUAAAGCCAAUGUUGACCUAGCUGACAUGACUUCUCUUAAGAAGCCCACCACAUAAUCUGAACCCGCCUUGAAGUUUAAGCCGGGUGAGGAUACCAAGCAGGUGGAUUUCACUCCUGGUGAUUCUUCCCAGCAGUUCACUAUUGGGACAGGGCUGGAUCCCAAAUAGGAAAGCGCGCUCAUCGAGUUCAUCCGUGAGAAUCGGACAUCUUUGCAUGGGAACCUUCUGACAUGUCUGGUAUACCGAGGGAACUCGCUGAGCACCAUCUUAAUGUUGAUCUAAAUUGAAACAUGUUCGUCAAUUCCUCCAUCAUUUUAACAAGGAGAGGCGCAAAGCUAUUGGUGAAGAAGUAGCACGACUCCUAACUGUCGGGUUCAUUUUUGAAGUUUUCCACCCAGAGUGGUUGGCAAAACUAGUGAUUUUUUUGAAAAAGAACGACACUUGCCAUAUGUGUGUUGAUUACAAAUAUCUUAACAAGGCCUGCCCCAAGGAUCCGUUUGCUAUUCCUUGCAUUGUUCAGAUGAUUCACUCCACAACCGGAUUUGAGCGUCUGUGUUUUCCGGAUGCUUAUUCUGGUUAUCAUCAGAUCAAGAUGGUUGUCGAGGAUCAAGAGAAGACGACUUUCAUCACCCUUUUUGGCACUUUCUACUAUGUCUCUAUGCCUUUUGGGUUUAAGAGCACGGGGGCUACUAAUAAACUUGUGUUCGAAACUGUUUACACAACCAAAUUGGGCGCGACAUUCAUGGUUAUGUCGAUGGUAUUGUGGUUAAGUCCUAGAAGAAAGAGACUCUACUAAAUGACUUCAAGGAAACAUUGAACAACCUUCGUAUAUACAAGAUGAAACUUAACCUGACCAAAUGUGUCUUUUGAGUACUGAUACGUCCCAAACGUAUCCAUAAUUUUUGCUUGUGUCAUACUUGUUUUGCAUCAUUGUCUCAUGUUUCUAUUACUUUUACAUCUUUUUAAGCAUUUAUUUGGACUAACCUAGUAAUGGUUGCAAAAGUUCACAAUGUUCUUGUUUAACACCUUGGUGUGUAUGAAUUACUUGGAAAUUGACAAAAAUGCAAAAGUACUCGUAUUGGAGUAAGACUCUGACUUUCCUGAAAGCUGUCCCCCCUACAGAUUUUAGAGAUCGUCUGUUUCCACCCUGUAGACCUGUUUUACUAAAGAGCAAAAUCUGAUUACGGGAAUCCGAAAUAUUGUGAUGUGAUUGACUCCAACUCUUUCCAAACUUGGGGGAUUCGGCCAAGCCACGACUUUGGGGCCUCAUUAGGGCUGAGAGGACUCCCAAGGAAGGUUUUAGAGGUGCCCAAGAGCCCUUGGAUCAAAGGGGCAUCCAUCGGAGGGCCAAGGAUGAUCGUCCCAGCUCAUACAAGGAGAGGAAAACCCUGAUUUAUGGAGAGCCACCAAGAGCCAGGAAAUUUCCUCCUCCCAGACAGCUGCCUUGGGGUGGAGAACCACCUCCAUACCAGCACCAUCUCGAAGGAAGAAGGGGGGCCAAGGGUCGUGGCCGCCGUCUCCUCUCCGGGCUGCACCUCUCCAUCAACCUCUUGCUCACCGUGGCCAUGUGUGAGUAGUCUCCCUCGGGGCUGAGGGCUCUACAUGUAGCUAUGUGGUUAUCUCUCUCUCCCAUGAUGUGAUCUUGAUUGUGAUCACAGGCUAAGUUAAUCUAGGGUGAUACCAUGAUGUUUCCCCUUGUACUAUGUAUUCGAUUGACGUACUCACUUAAUCUUAUCUAUUAUAAUCUCCGAGACCAUGGUGACAACGGUCUAUUAGACAUGGAUUAGAAGAAUAUUUUCAUAAGUGAUUUCCUAUUUUGUGAAUUGAUUGAAGAUUGAGAGUCUCUUGGUGCUUGUCUUUGACUAUCCUUGAGAUAUGUUGUGGUGAUUGUGGUACUCUCUUUGGAUGGCCGCAGUCACAUUGGAAAAUCCAUAGAUGAGAACUACGAACUCUAAGGUGUGCUUUUGUAGCCCUACAUAAUUCUCGUCCUCUCUUGAUCACAAAGGAAUGACCUCCGAGUAUGUCUCCAUUGCAUGUUUUAGUGGAAAUAUCAUGUGAUUAGAUUAUAUUAAUGUUGUUGGGAGUUGCCACCAGUGAAAGUAUGAAGCCUAGGCCUUGUUUUCCACCAUUGAACACCGUUUACUUUUAGUUUUUUUUCAUGUUUGCUUGCUGCCAUUUUUAUUUCAGACUUACAAUACCUUGUUUUACCAUCCAUAUCACUUGCCUUUUAACAUCUCUUCGCCGAACUAGUGCGCCUAUACAACUGACAAUUGUAUUAGGUGUGUUGGGGACACAAGAGACUUCUUGUAUCUUAAUUGCAGGGUUGCUUGAGAGACACCAUCUUCAACCUCUACUUCCCUGCCUUUGAUAAACCUUAGGUCAUCCACUUGAGGGAAAUUGCUGCUGUCCUACAAACCUCUGCGCUUGGAGGCCCAACAUAGUCUACAAGACUAGAAGCGUGCGUAGACAUCAAGUACGUGCACGCAAGUUACUAGGAUUCUUGGUUUCGAAGCGUGGCAUUGAACCUAACCUGGAGAAAAUCAAGGCGGUGACUUCUCUAUCUAAGCCACCAAACAUAAGUGGUGUCUAGUGCAUGGCGGGUCGUAUAGGAGUGAUCCAGUCAUUUCGCAUCAUGAAUUACUAUUGAUAUUUGUCUUGAUCAUGUCCAUUAUCCAUAAUUAUCACACAAUUAUUAUGCCUUUUCUCUCUGAAUAUGCAAGAUACAUCACUGAGAGGGAAAUAUGUGGAAACUAGAAUUUUGGACCGGGAAACCGAGAAAAAGGCAGAAAAAACAACUUGGUCCAAAUGACCAGAAACUUUAUAGAGAUUGUUUUUGCAAUAUUUGAGAAAGUAUGGACCAAAACUAUACCGGAGAGGGGCCACCAGCUCGACGCAAGCCAACAGGGCGCCCCCUGGCCGCGCCCUGAUGGCUUGUGGGGCCCCAGAUGGCCCUCUCGUGACCAUAUUCUCCUAUAUGGUGUGUUUUACCUGAGAAAAAUCAUAAGUGUCUUUAAGGACGAAGCACCGCCAUCUGGAAGCAGAAACCUAGGCACAUGCCCUUUUGCUCCGUGGCACAGAGAUUCUGUUGGGGGAAUUUCCCUUCGGCAGGAGGAAAUUGAAGCCAUCAUCAUCACCAACGCAACCUCCUUCAUGGGUGUAACGACCAAACCUCGAAGGAUUUAAGCCUCUGUGCUUUACUGUGCUAGUCCCUGGAUCGACUCGCUAGCACACACAAUAUAGAUGAAAACCAGAAUAGCAAGUGCAUCAUUUAUAAUAACGUAUGAUCCAGAAUUUAUAAAUAACAAUCUGCAUAGCACUUAGCUAGCUUUAUUCUAAUAAACAGCGGAAAAGUAGCAGAAUAAUAACGAUGAGUCCCAUCAUAGCCCACUGGCGAUGUUGAGUGAAGACUCGCGACCCUAACGGUAACUUACUCCUCGUCUGAAUAUCCUGCAACAUGAUACGUUGCAGCCAUAUAGGUCAAUACUUUGAAUGUAUUGGCAAGUUACACAAGAAAAGAUAAUAUAACAGACCUAAAUGUAUAUGCAUAGUAUAACAAAAGAAAGGCUGAUGGUUAUUUGCAGAAAGCUGAUUUUAUCCUCAUAGCUACCUAAUAGUCAAGUUUUAAAUCUGUUUGCUACAAUAACUCACAUAUGGUUGAUUUGGCAUCUCCAACUCCAACCUAUUACCAUUAUUAAGUUUCCCGUCAAAUUUUAUUAAGUGUGUCAUCUGUCAAGAUCAUCCAACAACUGUAAUGGCCUAACUGCUCAAAAUUGUCCAUAACCGGGGACACGGCUAAUCAUGAUUAGUUUAUACACUUUGUAGAGGUUAGUACGUUGUACCCACUGGACCCAACCCGAAGAUUGAGACGAAGUCUUUCAGAAGCAGUCACCUAGUCCCACAGGAGGCCCAUCCCACCUAUCAUAGCUACAUCAGCUGGCACAUCCGGGUAAGGUUUCCACGACUGAUCAACUAAGCUAGAGCCCAUAAUAGCCAGUGGUCGCACAAGGAAGCUACUAGUCACUAAGUCUGUUUGAUCUUUUUGAACCUGGGCGGCAUCCACUUACAUUCAGAGGGUAGAAACCAUGAUGUUCUUGAAACCACCCAGCAAUACCAUAUCCGCCCAGAGGUGUAUUAUAUCCUGAAUUACUACUCAAUUUAUUUUGUAGUAAUCCUCACAUAAUCUCAAUGAAUACAGGAACCAAUCCCCGUCUACAUAGCAUAGCAAAACUACAAAUACCACAAUCUUCAAUGACGAGGGGAUAUAGCUCAAUAACAUAGCAAUGAUAAUAUUCCUAUACAUGCAUAAUUUUCAUAGGGUGAUAUAAUACUACAUGCAUAGAAAAAAAUAAUAGGUAAAGGAUGAUCAACAUGUAACUUGCCUUGAUUCUGGUUCAGAAAGUCACACUCCUGACAAUAGUUUGCGUCGCACUCCGCACAAUCUACACGUUGCAAACAAUCACACCAAUCAAUCACCACAAUCACAUAACACCAAAUAAAACCAUCGGCAAUAAAACAACUUGUUUUAAAACCAAAGCAUAAAUAGCAUGGCAGCAGGUAUAAAAUCAUCUACAUGCUGAUACGAUGACAACGCAAAAAUAAUCAACUAAAUCAGAUUUACGGUUUGCAAAAUAUGGCCUCCGGUAGGUUUAAAAUAAUCUGUUUUAACAAAAAAAUAAAUUUUCGUAAAACUGAAAACUACUGGUUCUAACAUGUUCUACUCAUUAAUACGAGAUCACGGGAAAAAUAAUUUCCUGAAUCGGAGUUACGAGUAAAAAGAUAAACGCGUUUCAAAAUUAUACUGAGAAUCUGACAGAGCUAAAAACAGAUUAAAAACAGAUUGAAUUUCGUCCUGAAGCUGUUCAUCAGGACUUGAUGAAUCGCUCGUGCGUGCGUUCUCACCACGAACAGCGGGGAAAAACGGAACCGUCUCGGUGUGGCUCCCCCGAUGGUGCUCCGAUGGCGGUCGAACGGACUUCGAUGACGGCGGCUCCGCGAACUCCGACGAACACGGACGAACUCGGACGUGCGCGGCGUUGCUCCGCGGUGCUCGAGGCUGCUGCGUGUGCGAGGCGGUGGCGCUGUGCGUGCGAGACGACGGUGCUGUGCGAAUCGGGAGCAAGGGCUUCGGUUCGUGGGGCUUUAUUCCCUCGCGAGGAAAAGUACCUGGUGAUGUGCGCGCGUACUGCUCCGAGUCCAGCUCGCGGUAGGAGUCCUGGCGAAGAGUCCGGCUCCUGGCUCGAUGGGAAACAUGUUUUCCCUGGUCAAUGCAUGGGCACGUGGGGCACAUGGCCUCGUGAGCAGCCCUGGCUCGUGGUGCUGGGCACAUGUGGCCUCGGUCCUNNNNNNNNNNNNNNNNNNNNNNNNNNNNNNNNNNNNNNNNNNNNNNNNNNNNNNNNNNNNNNNNNNNNNNNNNNNNNNNNNNNNNNNNNNNNNNNNNNNNAAACGUCUUUGGAGCCCCGUUUCUAAACUGUAUAACAUGCCACACCUAACCAGAGAGUAGUCAUCAUUCCGCGCUUGCCAGACGUUUAGAACGUCCUGGGCUGCUGCGGGAGCGGGAGGGUCACCUAGCGGCGCAUUAAGGACAUAAGCCUUUUAGCUGCUUCAAGGAUGAGCUUCACGUUGCGAACCCAGUCCGCAUAGUUGCUACCAUCAUCUUUCAGCUUGUUUUUCUCUAGGAAUGCGUUGAAGUUGAGGUUGACGUUGGACAUCUACAAUAUUUAUAAAGACAACUUUUAGACUAAGUUCAUGACAAUUAAGUUCAUUUAAUCAAAUUAAGUAUGAACUCCCACUUAAAUCGACAUCCCUCUAGUCAUCUAAGUGAUACAUGAUCCAUGUUGACUAACCCGUGUCCGAUCAUCACGUGAGACGGACUAGUCACCAUGGUGAGCAACUUCAUGCUGAUCGUAUUCAACCAUACGACUCAUGUUCGACCUUUCUGUCUCUUGUAUUCGAGGUCAUGUCUGUACAUGCUAAGCUCGUCGAGUCAACCUAAGUGUUUUGCAUGUGUAAAUCUGGCUUACACCCGUUGUAUGCGAACGUUAGAAUCUAUCACACCCGAUCAUCACGUGGUGCUUCGAGACAACGAACCUUCGCAACGGUGCACACUUAGGGGAAUACGUUCUCGAAAUUUUAGGAGGGAUCAUCUUAUUAUGCUACCGUCGUUUUAAGCAAUAAGAUGUAAAACAUGAUAAACAUCACAAUGCAAUCAUAUAGUGACAUGAUAUGGCCAUUAUCAUCUUUGCUCAUUCGAUCUCCAUCUUCAGGCAUCGCAUGAUCAUCAUCGUCACCGGCGUGACACCAUGAUCUCCAUCAUCAUGAUCUCCAUCAUCGUGUCUCCGUGAAGUCGUCACGCCAACUACUACUAUCACUACUACUAUCACUACUACUAUCACUACUACUAUGGCUAACCGUUCGCAAUGAAGUAAAAGUAGCAAGCACAUGGCGUUGCAUCUCAUACAAUAAAUUAAGACAACUCCUAUGGCUCCUGCCGGUUGUCAUACUCAUCGACAUGCAAGUCGUGAAACCUAUUACAAUAACAUGAUCAUCUCAUACAUCAUACAUGCAACAUCACAACUUUGGCCAUAUCACAUCACAUGUCAAACCCUGCAAAAACAAGUUAGACGUCCUCUAAUUGUUGUUGCAAGUUUUACGUGGCUGAUUUGGGUUUCUAGCAAGAACGCCUUCUUACCUACGUGACAGCCACAACAAUGAUAUGCCAAAGCUAUUUACCCUUCAUAAGGACCCUUUUCAUCCAAUCCGACUAGAGUAGGAGAGACAGACACCCGCUAGCCACCUUUAUGCACGAUGUGCAUGUUUGUCGGUGGAACCAGUCUCACGUAAGAGUACGUGUAAGGUCGGUCCGGGCCGCUUCAUCCCACAAUACCGCCGGAAAAGAAUAAGACUAGUAACGGCAAGCAAAUUGACAAACCAUCGCCCACAACUUUUGUGUUCUACUCGUGCAUAGAAUCUACGCAUAGAAAACCUGGCUCGGAUGCCACUGUUGGGGUAACGUAGCAUAAAUUCAAAAAAUUUCCUACGCAUGUUCAGAUCUUCCUAUUGAGAGACCAGCAACGAGAGAGGGGUAAGAGCAUCUUCGUACCUUUGANNNNNNNNNNNNNNNNNNNNNNNNNNNNNNNNNNNNNNNNNNNNNNNNNNNNNNNNNNNNNNNNNNNNNNNNNNNNNNNNNNNNNNNNNNNNNNNNNNNNGCUAUCAUUUUGGGGAUACGCAUUAGAAACUGCAGCAUUCACUUUAAAUAGGGCACCGUCUAAAUCCGUUGAGACGACACCGUAUGAACUAUGGUUUGGCAAGAAACCUAAGUUGUCGUUUCUUAAAGUUUGGGGCUGCGAUGCUUAUGUGAAGAAACUUCAACCAGAAAAGCUCGAACCCAAAGCGGAGAAAUGCGUAUUCAUAGGAUACCCUAAGGAAACUAUUGGGUAUACCUUCUAUCUUAGAUCCGAAGGUAAAACCUUUGUUGCCAAGAACGGAUCCUUUCUAGAGAAAGAGUUUCUCUCGAAAGAAGUAAGUGGGAGGAAGGUAGAACUUGAUGAGGUAAUUACACCCCCUCUCGAACAGGAAAGUAGCGCAACGCAAGAAGUUGUUCCUGUGGUGCCUACACCAACUGAAGAGGAAGUUAAUGAUGAUGAUCAUGAAGCUUCGGAUCAAGUUACUACUGAACCGCGAAGGUCCACAAGGGUACGCUCCGCACCAGAGUGGUACGGCAACCCAGUGAUGGAAAUCAUGUUGUUAGACAACGGUGAACCUUCGAACUAUGAAGAAGCGAUGGCGGGCCCGGAUUCCAACAAAUGGCUUGAGGCCAUGAAAUCCGAGAUAGGAUCCAUGUAUGAGAACAAAGUAUGGACUUUGGUGGACUUGCCCGAUGAACGACGAGCCAUAGAAAAUAAAUGGAUCUUCAAGAAGAAGACUGAUGCAAACGGUAAUGUAACCGUUUACAAAGCUCGACUUGUCGCAAAGGGUUUUCGACAAAUUCAAGGAGUUGACUACGAAGAGACUUUCUCUCCCGUAGCGAAGCUGAAAUCAGUCCGAAUCAUGUUAGCAAUUGCCGCCUUUUAUGAUUAUGAAAUUUGGCAAAUGGACGUCAAAACAGCGUUCCUUAACGGGAACCUUAAGGAAGAGUUGUAUAUGAUGCAACCAGAAGGUUUUGUCGAUCCUAAAGGUGCUAACAAAGUAUGCAAGCUCCAGUGCUCCAUCUAUGGGCUGGUGCAAGCAUCUCGGAGUUGGAACAUUCGCUUUAAUGAGGUGAUUAAAGCGUUUGGGUUCAUACAGGUUUACGGAGAAGCCUGUCUGUACAAGAAAGUGAGUGGGAGCUCUGUAGCUUUCCUCGUACUAUAUGUAGAUGACAUAUUAUUGAUGGGGAAUGAUAUAGAGAUGUUGAAGAGCAUAAAGGCCUAUUUGAACAAGAGUUUUUCAAUGAAGGACCUUGGAGAAGCUGCAUACAUAUUAGGCAUCAAGAUCUAUAGAGAUAGAUCGAGACGCCUCAUAGGUCUUUCGCAAAGUACAUACCUUGACAAGAUACUGAAGAAGUUCAAUAUGGAAAACUCAAAGAAAGGGUUCUUGCCAGUUUUGCAAGGUAUGAGAUUGAGUAAGACUCAAUCGCCGACCACGGCAACAGAUAGAGAGAAGAUGAGUUCUGUCCCCUACGCUUCAGCCGUGGGCUCUCUAAUGUAUGCCAUGCUGUGUACCAGACCUGAUAUAAACCUUGCGAUAAGCUUGGUAGGGAGGUACCAAAGUAAUCCCGGUGCAGAACACUGGACAGCGGUCAAGAAUAUCCUUAAGUACCUGAAAAGGACUAAGGAAAUGUUUCUCGUUUAUGGAGGUGACGAAGAGCUCUUCGUAAAGGGUUACGUCGAUGCUAGCUUCGACACAGAUCCGGAUGACUCUAAGUCACAAACCGGAUACGUAUAUGUGUUGAAUGGUGGGGCAGUGAGCUGGUGCAGCAGCAAGCAAGAAGUCGUGGCAGCAUCUACAUGUGAAGCGGAGUACAUAGCUGCUUCAGAAGCGGCUCAUGAAGGAAUUUGGAUGAAGGAGCUCAUCACCGACCUUGGAGUGGUUCCAAGCGCGUCGGGUCCUAUGACACUCUACUGUGAUAACACUGGAGCCAUUGCCAUAGCCAAAGAGCCCAGGUUUCACCGGAAGACGAAGCACAUCAAGCGCCGCUACAACUCCAUCCAGGACCAUGUCCAAACUGGAGUGAUAGAUAUUUGUAAAGUACACACGGAUCUGAAUAUUGCAGACCCGUUGACUAAACCUCUUCCACGAGCAAAACAUGAUCAGCACCAUAAUGCUAUGGGUGUUCGAUACAUCACAAUGUAACUAGAUUAUUGUCUCUAGUGCAAGUGGGAGACUGUUGGAAAUAUGCCCUAGAGGCAAUAAUAAAAUGGUUAUUAUCAUAUUUCCUUGUUCAUGAUAAUCGUCUAUCGUUCAUGCUAUNNNNNNNNNNNNNNNNNNNNNNNNNNNNNNNNNNNNNNNNNNNNNNNNNNNNNNNNNNNNNNNNNNNNNNNNNNNNNNNNNNNNNNNNNNNNNNNNNNNNCCUGAGGAAUUUCUCCUUUCUGGCCUUUGCAAUCUUUGCCUGCUUGGACUUCUGUUCCUUCCACUUGGCUUCAUUUAUGAAAGUAGCCACCAUGUGGCUGACACCAGGAGGAAGUUUCAAAUCAUCAAUGGGUGUGUUUGGGUCUUCAUACCACACAUUGAUGAAAUCGAGGAGGACCUUGGGGUCCAUUGCCAGAGGAAUAGCACUGCCUGAUGCUUGUGCUACCCUUUCUUGCUUGUUCCUGAUGAUGGCUUCCAGAGUUUCAUCAUCAUAUUCUUCACUUCCCUCUGAUGCAGACGGGACUGUGAUGAUUUUGCUUGGGCUGGGCAGAGGUGCAGGUUCAGUAGUAGCCAAAGUCUUCACAUGGGGAGUUGAAGACUUUGUCUCCGAGCUAGUUGCAGCUGGGAGUGAGGAGCUGGAGCUGGCAGUCGUAGUCUUCACGACUUUCUUCUGUACUAGCUUUGGAGGUGGAGCUGAGGACUUUGGUGUGGAUGCGAUUGGUGCUGAGGGUUUUGGCGCUGAUGGUUUUGGUGUGGACGGUUUUGGAACCGAGGGUUUUGGAGCUGAGGGUUUGGUGACUGAAGUGUGUGCAAGCUUCUCUUGGGGCUUUGAAGCUUUUGGCUUUGUUGGCACAGACUUUGGUUGAGGAAUUUCGGAGCCUGAGGUUUCUGCUGCUGAGGAAUGAGCAGCACCGGAGGCAGCAGCUGAAGAUUCAUGAAAUUUCUUCACUGUUGUUUCUGCUUGCUUCUUGAGCUUGGCCAGAUGCCUUUCUUUUUCCUGUGGGUAGUCAUCAAGUGUCAUAAGACUUGAGGGAUGAGCAACUUGAUGAUCCUCAAGCGGGGCCCUUCUGCCAGGAGGCUUCAAAGCGAAUUUCUUCGCAUAUUUUGGAGUCACAAACCUGUACUCCUUCCACUCCUUUGCCCAUCUGCGUUCAAUUUUCUGCAGCCUAAUCUUCCUUUUAGGCAUAGUCUCAGGUUCAUCAUCAGGCGUGCAGUAGUCCAGGUAUAUGUCAUCAAGAAUGUCCACAGCUGUGUUCUGUUCCAUUUUCUUUCCUCCCCUCUGUUUCCUUUCUUCCUCCAUUUUCUUCAGACGAGGAACUAUCUGAGGAUUUUGAACUCUUGAGGAUUCUGAUGAGCCUUGAAGAGUUUCUUCCAGAAACGCUGCAAAUGAGUUAAUGUGAUGAGAACCGAGAGAUUCAUCAGCUGACAUGUGUGUACCUGUGAACAGAGUAUAGUUGCGAGGAAUUUGGAGAGGUCAUAUGCGUUCUCAGAUUUGAAGAAAAUGGAAAAGUUUGACAGUUUGAGGAAUAUAACCAGUGGUUGAGGAAUUUGCUUAAGCAUUCUGUUCUUGGGUUCCAGAGUUGUACAGAUCCGAAAAUUCGCACAAUUGAGGAAUCUCGUGAAAAUCUUAGAUGCUUAGCUAGUUCAUCAAUGAUUGUGGUGAUGGAUAGUGUUUGAGGAAUCAUGUGCGCAUCGUAUCUUGAGGAAAAACAUAUUUCACAUUGGAGAGGUAAGAUUUUAGAUCUAAUCUGUUGUAAAAAUGGGAUAUAUUUAACCUGGAAGGUGCGAACGAAGAACACAAAAAGGUGGCGUUGGAGAGGCUCUUCGGUCAAGUGUCCAAUGCACCCUAACUUGGCAGCAGAGGACGUCUACGGCGGCGGCGGACGUAGAUGUUCCGUCUCCGGCGUGAUCCUGGCGGCGAGAAGGUUGAGGCAGUGAAGCUCUUCCUUGCCGGCGUCAAGACUUCCAGCGGUGGCGCUAGGGUUCGGUGUGCUGUGGCAGGAGAGUGACGAGGCGAAGAAGAUGAUACCGAGGGGGUUAAGGACAUAUUUAUAGCCCGAAAGUUACUGUUUGGCACGAAAGUUUUGCACCGAAUAGCCCUUGCCUCUACGUCUCCGCAGGACACGUGUAGCUCCCGUAUGAUGCGGUGGAGAUAGUGGAGAUCGUGGCUAUCCAAUCGUGGGAAGUGGGGGUUCAGUUACUGUUCCUUUGAAGAAAACAAUUUUUCGAAGAUUUGAGGAUUUUCGUUACAAAAUCAUCAGCUGGCAAGGAUGCAGUGAGGAUUUUGAACAAAGUUUCAAGUAGAACGCAUAUGAAGAAUUGAAUAGACUCGAUAAGUAAGCAUAGAGGGAAAAUAGGGUCCGAUCACAUUCACUUAGCAGAAACAUCAACUUGAAGAAAUAGCAAUAAGUGAAUGCUGUUGAGGACUAGUAAUCACAGUCUACCUAGGCAAAUGAAAGUCAUCAAGUGUUUUUGAAGAUUUUGCAAUAGAUCAUCACAAUUAAGAACAGUUGUUUUGAAGAAAAAUGCACUGUGAGGAAUUUGAUCAUUUGAAGAAAAUCAACUUGAGGAAUUUCACAUUGGGCGGUGGCGUUGCGCACCAUAUAAGAAUGUUGAUUACAGACGCCGCGUACAAUUGUCGUAGGGCCCUGAGAAUCAAUUUCUUUGUUAAUUUCUUCACAUUCAGAGUGACUUUCUUCAUCGUUUGAAGAAAAUCGUUUCAUCAUGUGUUGCACAUCUAAGUCAUCAACUUUGCAUAAGUGUUAGGAUGUGUGCAUGUUUUUACAAAACAUUUGAAGACUCUAAGAUAUUUAGCUCACACCGCAACUUGCAAAACCUUUUCUCAUCCAAGGGCUUAGUGAAGAUAUCAGCCAGUUGAUCAUCAGUCUUCACAUGGUCGAUGAGGAUGUUGCCCUUGAGGACAUGGUCCCGAAGAAAAUGAUGACGAAUCUGGAUGUGCUUAGUCUUCGAGUGCUGUACUGGGUUGUAGGCAAUCUUGAUAGCACUCUCAUUGUCACAGUAGACAGGCACAUUCUUCAUGUUGAUGCCGUAGUCCUUGAGGGUUUGCUUCAUCCAUAGUAAUUGAGCACAGCAAGAACCAGCAGCAAUGUAUUCAGCUUCGGCAGUGGAGAGUGAUACGCAGUUCUGCUUCUUUGAGGACCAGCAAACCAGUGAUCUUCCGAGGAAAUGGCAUGUGCCAGAUGUUGACUUGCGAUCCACACGGUCACCAGCAUAGUCUGAAUCAGAAUACCCUACCAGUUGAAGAUUGGAGGCCUUGGGAUACCAUAAUCCUAGUGUUGGUGUGUGAGCUAAGUAUCGAAGAAUAUGUUUCACAGCCUUAUGGUGUGAUUCCUUCGGUUUUGCUUGAAAACGUGCACACAUGCAAACACUAAGCAUUAUGUCUGGCCUAGAUGCACAUAGAUACAAUAAAGAACCAAUCAUAGAACGGUAUACCUGCUGAUCGAAAUCUUUACCAUUUUCAUCAGUGCCGAGGUGACCGUUGGUAGGCAUUGGAGUCUUGGCACCUUUGCAUUCAUGCAUGUCGAAUUUCCUCAGAACAUCCUUGAGGUAUUUCUCCUGUGAUAUGAAGAUUCCAUUGCUUUGUUGACGAAUUUGAAGACCUAAGAAGAAUUUCAGCUCCCCCAUCAUAGACAUCUGAUAUUCUUCACUCAUCAUAUAGGCAAAUUCAUCACUGUAUCUUUUGUCAGUACAGCCAAAUAUGAUAUCAUCAACAUAUAUUUGACAUACAAACAGUUCAUUAUCAUAAGAUUUUGUGAAAAGAGUUGGAUCGAGUGAACCAGGUUUGAAGCCUUUCUUCAUGAGGAAUUCCUUCAAUGUAUCAUACCAUGCCCGAGGGGCUUGCUUGAGACCAUACAGAGCCUUUUUGAGUCUGAAGACUUUGUCUGGAUUCUUUGGAUCCUCAAAACCUGGGGGUUGAGCUACAUAUACUUCUUCCUCAAGAUUACCAUUGAGGAAUGCACUUUUCACAUCCAUUUGAUAUAAGAUGAUGUUAUGAUGAUUAGCAUAAGCAAGUAAAAUUCGAAUGGCUUCAAGUCUAGCAACAGGUGCAAAAGUUUCAUCGAAAUCUAUUCCUUCAACCUGGGUGUAGCCUUGGGCUACUAGUCGUGCCUUGUUCCUUACCACUUGACCGUCCUCAUCUUGCUUGUUUCGGAAAAUCCACUUGGUGCCGAUGAUGUUAUGCUUGCGAGGAUCUGGUCGUUUGACGAGCUCCCAUACGUCAUUCAGCUUGAAUUGAAGAAGUUCGUCUUGCAUGGCUUGGAUCCACUCCGGUUCCAGAAAAGCCUCAGCUACUUUUGAGGGUUCUGUGAUAUAUACAAAAGAGAAAUGCCCACAAAAGUUAACUAAGUGUGAAGCUUUUGAGCGAGUGAGAGGACCUGGCGCGUUGAUGUCGUUGAGGAUUUUGUCAAGUUCUACUUCAUUUGCAAUCCUCGGAUGUGCUGGUUGAGGAUUUUGCCUGGGCUGAGGAAGUGGUGUUGUUGCAAUUUCCUCAGGAACAUCUUCUUGUCUUUCAUCAGCAAUGGGGAUUGUUUCUUCACCAAUUUCCUCAGUGGGAACAAUGUCUUCAGUAGGUUUAAGCUUUAUUGCUUCCUUAGGAGACAGCUUAUCUGGAUCAGAAGGCAAUUGCUCUCUUUGCGAGCCAUUAGUUUCAUCGAACCGCACAUCUACAGUCUCAACAACUUUGUUGUGAUAGUUGUUGAAGACUCUGUAGGUGUGCGAGUCCUUUCCGUAACCGAGCAUAAAACCUUCAUGUGCUUUAGGUGCAAAUUUUGAGCUAUGAUGAGGAUCUCUAAUCCAGCAUUUUGCACCGAAGACUUUGAAAUAACUUACAUUGGGUUUCUUGUCAGUGAAGAGUUCAUAUGAGGUUUUCUUGAGGAAUUUGUGAAGAUAUACCCUGUUGAUGAUAUGACAUGCAGUGUUGAUUGCUUCAGGCCAGAAGCAACGAGGAGACUGAUAUUCUUCAAGCAUAGUUCUUGCCAUUUCAACUAGAGUCCUGUUCUUUCUUUCGACGACACCAUUCUGCUGAGGAGUAUAAGGAGCAGACAAUUCGUGAGUAAUACCAAGUUCAUCAAGAUAAUCAUCAAGACCAGUGUUUUUGAACUUGGUUCCAUUAUCACUCCUGAUAUGUUUAAUCUUGAUGCCGAAGUUCGUCGAGGCCCUUGAAGAAAAUCGUUUGAAGAUUUCCUGCACUUCAGUUUUAUACACUAAGAUAUGCACCCAGGUGUAUCUGGAAUAAUCAUCAACUAUGACAAAGCCAUAUAGAGAUGCUGCAUUGGUUAGUGUUGCAUAGUGAGUAGGUCCAAACAAAUCCAUAUGAAGCAAUUCGAAUGGACGUGUAGUGGUCAUGAUGGUUUUGGAGGGAUGCUUGGAUCUGGUCAUUUUCCCAGAUUCACAAGCACCGCAGAGAUGAUCCUUGAGGAAUUUGACUGAUUCGAUGCCAAUGACAUGCUUCUUCUUUGCAAGCGUGUGCAAAUUCCUCAUGCCUGCAUGACCUAGUCUUCUGUGCCACAACCAUCCUUCUGAGGUUUUUGCUAGUAAGCAAGUGGCUGGUUGAGUACCUGUAGAGAAGUCAACAAUGUACAAAUCCCCUCUUCUUACACCUUCGAAGACUUUGGAUCUGUCAGAUUCCAUGAUGACUACACAUCUAUAUCUACCAAAGAUAACAAUCAUAUCAAGAUCACAAAGCAUCAAGACUGACAUGAGGUUCAAACCAAGGGAUUCAACAAGCAUCACUUUGUCCAUAUGCCUAUCCUUGGAAAUAGCUACUUUGCCAAGUCCCAAUACCUUGCUUUUACCUUUAUCAGCAUAUGUGAUUUGCUUCAGAGGUGAUGGAGUUAGUGGCAUAUUCAUCAGUAGGCUUUUAUCACCAGUCAUGUGAUGUGUGCAGCCACUAUCGAGAACCCACUCAGUAUUUUUGGGUUUGUCAUCCUGCAGAUGAAUUAGUACAGCUUACCAUCUCAUAUGCUUCAAGUUUGAAGAAUAUGAUACUAAUUUCAUCAUAACAGAAAUGUAAGGACGUGUGAAAUAUUUCUAUUUCAUCAAUCAUUAGCUUGCGUCCUAUCAAGCAUUUCCUCAGGUCUCCAGCAAAUUCUUCAGAUGAUGAUUUUCAUCUGGAGACCUGACCUGCAGAAGUGAUUAGUUUGAUUUCUUCACCACCCACAUAUGAAGGGGUGGCAAAGCGUUCAUCAUUCUGCGAGCACCAUAUGAGAAAGGUGGCAUUGAAGCUAAUGCACUUCUCUUAACAGUAGGGGGGGUUAAAGUAUUCAUAUGAGUAUGCAGAGAACUGGUUUGAGGAUUUAUGAACAUAAUGAUUUGAAGAAUAGCGCUCAUAAUCAUAUUCCUUGUAGUUUCCCUGCAUGUUAGACGCAUAAGCACGGGUAUGAGCAUAGUUUUGACCAGUUGAGGAUUUUGAUCCUCUUGAAGACUUUGGUCCUCCUGAGGAUUUUGAUCUGGGGUUCAGAUUCUUCAGAGGUGAUGUCAUGAGGACAUUCACUUGAAGAUUUUCAAGACAACUUUUGGGAACCCAGAUUUUCCUCAGAGGAGGGCCAUUCCUGCAGUUAGUUCCAACAUAUCGAGCAAAUACUUCACCAGAUUGAUUUUUGAACAGUUUAUAGUUGGAAUCAAAUGACUCAUCAGAGGAAUAGGAUAAUUCACAUGAGAAGCCAGUUAGAUUAGAUGGAUCAAAAGGAGGCCCAGUAGCAGCAACCCAUGAGGUUUUGGGAUACUGCUCAGGUUUCCAAUAAGAUCCAUCAGCAUUCAGUUUCCUCUCAAAGGCAAUUCCUUCUUUCCUCGGGUUCCUGUUCAAGAUCUGCUUUUUGAGCACAUCACAAAGGAUUUGAUGUCCUUUGAGGCUUUUGUACAUGCCUGUCAAGUACAAUUCCUUCAACCCUGCAUUUUCAUCAGGGACAUUUUUGUUUUCCUCAAGUGAGGAAAUAGACACAACAGGUGCAGUUGAAGAAUUUGUAGCAGUGGUAGCAUUUGAAGAUUCUGGUGAAGAAUUAGCAGUUUCACAAUCAAUGCAUUUAAGACAUGGAGGAAUAAAUUCAACUUGACUAGCGCUGAUCUGUUGAGCUAGUAAUGAAUCAUUUUCCGUACGAAGAUCAUCAUAAGACAUCCUCAGCUUCUCAAGAUCAAGCUUCCUUUGAAGAAAUUCGUAGGAAAGCUUCUCAUGAUCAGUGAGGAGUGUAUCAUAACGAUCCUGAAGAAUAUCAAAUCUAGACUGAAGAUUUUUCAUGUCAUCAGCGAGGAUUUGAUUAAGAUUCAUUUCAUCAUUCAACAGAUCAUCACUUUUGUCUAGCAGUUUUUGAAGCUUUUCCAGAGCAGUUUGUUGUUUAGUGGCAAUGAUGGCAAGUUUACUGUAACUGGGUUUUUUGUAAUCAUCAUGUUCACAGUCACUUGAAUCAGAUGAGGAGGCAUUAUGUGAUACCUUUGAACCUUUUGCCAUGAAGCAAUAGGUUGGAGCGAAGUCAUCAGCAUAGUCAUCAGUAUGGAUGGUGCACUCAUUUUCUUCAAGAUUGAAGAUUGACUUGCUGACGAAAUUGGUUGCUAGUGCAAGACUAGCCUGUCCGGAUUCUGAAUCUUCUCCAGAGCCUUCUUCAUCAUCACAUUCUUCUGAUUCUGCCUCGGAAUCCAUUUCCUUGCCAAUAAGUGCCCGAGCCUUUCUGAAGCUAGUCUUCUUGUGUGAGGAGGACUUUGAAGAUGAGGAUUUUGAAGAUUUCUUUUUCUUCUUUGAGUCAUCAGAACUGUCAUCCUUGUAUUUCUUCUUCUUUGAUUCCUUUCCCCAGCGAGGACAAUCAGCAAUGUAAUGACCUGAUUUCUUGCACUUGUGACAGGUCCGUCUCUUGUAGUCCUCAGAUGCAGAUUCUGAUUUCCUCAUGUCUCUUCUUGAUGAUUUACCGAACUGGCCUCGUCGUGUAAAUCUCUGGAAUUUCCUCACAAGCAUUGCAAGUUCCUGACCAAAUUCUUCAGGGUCACAACUGCUGUCAUCUGUGUCUUCUUCUUCAGAUGAGGAAAUUGCUUUUGCCUUCAGUGCACGUGGUCUGGAAUAGCUUUGUCCAUAUAGAUCUCUCUUUUCUUCUAGCUGGAAUUCAUGAGUAUUUAGCCUUUCGAGGAUAUCAGCAGGAUCUAGCAUCUUGUAGUCUGGUCUUUCUUGAAUCAUCAGAACUAAAGUGUCAAAUGAAGAAUCCAAAGAUCUCAGCAGUUUCUUCACAACUUCGUGAUCAGUGAUGUCUCGAGCUCCCAGUGCUUGCAGUUCAUUUGAUAUGUCAGUGAGGCGAUCAAAGGUGUCUUGACAGCUUUCAUUGUCAUGUCUCUUGAAGCGAUUGAAGAGAUUGCAAAGAAUAUCAACACGAGAGUCGCGUUGGGUUGAUACUCCUUCAUUUACCUUGCAUAGUCUCUCCCAGAUCAGUGUUGCAGAGCCUAAGGCACUUACUCUUCCAAACUGGCCAGGGCUCAGAUGACCACAGAUGAUGUUCUUCGCUUGAGAAUCGAGUUGCUUGAAUUUCUUCACAUCAGCUGCAGUGACACUAGCAGAAAUGAUGGGGACACCAUUUUCCACAAUAUACCAGAGAUCAUUGCCUAUAGCUUGUAGAUGCAUUUGCAUUUUGUUCUUCCAAAAGGGAAAGUUCUUUCCCUCGUAGGUAGGACAUGCUGCAGUCACCUUAAACAUGCCUGCAGUCGACAUAACUAAAACUCCAGGUGGUUAAACCAAAAUCACACAGAACAAGGGAGUACCUUGCUCUGAUACCAAUUGAAAGUGCGUUAUAUCGACUAGAGGGGGGUGAAUAGGAGAUUUUUAGAAUUUCAUCACUGAGGAAAUUCCUUUUAAGGAAAUUCCUCACUGAUGACUAACUUACAGCGGAAACAGUUAAGGAUCAGUUGUGCAAUCGUUCACAAUAGCAGUAUUACAGAGUGAAGAUUAUGAAAACAGAUUGCACAGCAAGCAGGCACGCAGAAUACAGAUGAUGACUUACUCAAGUGAAGAAUUUGGGGUUGAGGAAAUUCAGAGAAAGUCUUCAGCAAAUUCUUCAAACAGUCACAGUGAAAGUCAUCAACACAUAAUACAGAGAAUGUAAAGAGUUGAGGAAUUAGAACCCGAUUCUUGGUGAAGACUGUUGUUGAUGACCCAGUUCCAACUGUUGUGACAGUUGUACAUCUGGUUUGGAGCGGCUUGGUAUUUAAACCAAAGGACACCCAGCCCCGAGACACACAGUCCCUACCGUAUUCUCCUUGAGCUAAGGACACACAGUCCUCGCCCAAACACUCGUGGUAAGUCUUCAGGGCAGACUUCCAAACCCUCACAAACUCGGUCACCCGGCGAUCCACAAUUGACUGCUGGAUUGCUCUAGACCAUCACGCCUAACCGUCUGGAGGAUGCACAGUCCUCAAAGGUAAAAGGCUUCAGUCCCACACAGGAACAACUUCUUCAGUGAUGCUCAAUCACUAGAUUUGGUUUGUGGUUUCGGUGGGUGGUGUAUUUCCUCACUGAUGAUUUACUCUCGAAAGCUCUGAGGAAUUGGGUUGCUCUUAUGACAAGUGUCAGUUUCUAGCGGAGCAGCCAACCGGCUAGUGGUUGUGGGGGCGGCUAUUUAUAGCCUGGGAGCAUCCCGACAUGAUUUGACAUUAAUGCCCUUAAAUAAUAUGACCGUUGGAGUGGAUAAGAUCAGUGACUUGGUGUGGCUUAUCGAAACGGUCGGGACUCUCAAUUGUGAGAGUCCUCAUGUUACUCAUAUUCCUCACUUGAGGCUUUUAGUAGGAUUUGGCUUGGGUUGAGCAUCAUGAGGAAAUCCAUUCCAUAGUGUUACUUUGACCCCCUUUAACAGUACGGUGUUCCUAUUCAUCAAAUGCGAAGAAAGUAAAACAGAAAACGAAAAUCUUCACGCUUCAAUUUCUUCAGAACGAUAUUCUUCAGGAACCACCGAUCUUCUCAAUAUCAAUAUCUUCAUGAGGAAUAUCCAUUUCAUCGUAAAUUCUUCGCGAUUCAUUUCUUCAGCUUCAGACCAAUUUCUUCAACUGAAGACAUACAAUUUUAGGGGUCGAUAUUCUUCAAAUAUCUCAAACUCCUCAAUGACUUAUAGAUCCUGUGUACACUUAAAAACACAUUAGAUGCUUAACCUAUAAGUCUUCAAUCCACCAAAAUCACUAAGGGGCACUAGAUGCACUUACAAACUGACACGAUCAUAUGCUACAUUCAUAGUUUGUGUCUUGUCCAUCACAUCAUUCUCCUAAUGAUGUGAUCCCUUUAUCAAGUGACAACACUUUUCCAUGGCAAGGAUACCUUGACCAUCUUUGAUGAACGAGCUAGUCAACUAGAGGCUCACUAGGGACAGUGUGUUGUCUAUAUAUCCACACAUGUAUUUGAGUUUCUAAUCAGUACAAUCCUAGCAUGGAUAAUAAAGGAUUAUCAUGAACAAGGUAAUAUAAUAAUAACCAAUUUAUUAUUGCCUCUAGGGCAUGUUUCCAACAUCUAGCAGACCCCAUAUAAUCGACAGAACUGUAAAAUUCUAACGACUAUACGGGUUUGGGCUGUUUUUUCUCCGAGAGCAGAUACUAUAAACGCGUCCCGGCCCGUAAAACUUUUGCGGUGCCCGUAAAUGUGAGCGCUCAACCGCUAUAUCUACGGGUUCGACCACUUGAUGCGGGUCGAAACCUUAUCCUUCCGCCGCCGCGAAAAGUUUCCCCACCUCACCGUCGGCGCCUCCAAUCAGUUGUUGCGCACCUCCAUUCCAUCGCGUAGCCGCUCCAUUCCACCGCCCUUGUAUGGCCAACUCGGGCGGCCGUAGGAACGACGACCCCGAGAGGGAUCGGUGCAUGAUCCGACGGUGCCCGGAAGCGCGCCACCCAUCAGUACACACAGUGGGGCCUGGCGCUGCCGCCAUCACUCCUCCAUCGCGAGACACAGGAGUAGGACCGCGUGGGCGGCUGGCUCUUCGCGUGCAUCUCCUCCGAGGCCUCGAGCUCGCACUCGUGCACCUCACUCCCCCUUCUUAAGAGGGAGGUCGAGGAGCUCGCGCCGGUGAAGAUGGAGCUUGAGGAGCUCGAGGAGCCGGAGGCCGAGGUGGUGCCGGAGGGGCGUGCUGGUGCCGUCGUCGGACCGGAGGGUUUCCCCCCCCCCCCCCGGCGUAGGCGGACAUCAUUUUCCCGUGCUACUGGCAUGGAGUGCGCGGGAGGCGGAAGAGGACGAGCAGUGCUGCCGGAGGAAGGAGGAGAUCGACACCCUGCUCUACGAGCAGGGUGCCACGUCGGCCCUCGCCUUCGGCCAGAAGGUGGAGGAGUGGCGCCGCAAAGCGACUGUGUAGGCGCGCAUCUACGUCGACCUCUCCUCCGACGAGGACGACGACUAAGCGCACUGCGCAUCUACUACCGAACAAGGUCGACUCUGGUAAGCUCGUCUUUGUGUAGUGCGGUUGGAUAUAGUAUCUCCGGUGAGCUCCAGUAGGAUAGUUUACCUCUAGCCCCCCCUUUAGUAUGUAUGAUCAUCUACUAUGUAUGAACUUUGAAUGAAGUGUGCUUCCCAAUUCGCCCGCGAAUGCUUUUUCAAAUUAUGCAGUUCGAUUAUACGGGGUCUGUUCUGCAGCACAAAAUUUUGCCCCGCAAAACCCCACAUCGUCGAACUGUAAAACGCGUUUGUAGGUCGCAAUUAUAUAGGGUCUGCUAGAGAUGCUCUAACAAUGGCAGUAUCAUUUGAAAACUCAUAUAUAUGCAAUCAUAAAGACAUUCCAACAUAUGUACUCCACCACAAAAUAAACACAUACACAAUCUCUACAAAUUGUAUCUCUAAGGCCAUGUGUAGGAAAUAGCACAUAUAUACACAAUUGAACAAGCAUAUGUAUGAUCCCUAGUUAAAUUUUAUUUGAAGUCACAUAUAUAUUUCCCCCAAAAAACCACAACAACUAUAUUCAAUACUAGGAAAGAAAAUAUUACACUCUUAUCUAUAAAUCCAAUACUACACAGUAUCAAAUACAUCACCACAACAACUAUAUAUUUCCUCUCAACCAAAUAUAGCCAAAACAAUCUUCAAGCAAAUUAUGGAAAAACUAAUCUUAUUGUUACACCACGUACCAAAAGAUGCAUUGAAAAUAGCUUGUUUUGACCAAAAUAAAUAGGAGGGGUAGGGGAAGAAUACCUCAAGAAACUUUGGGAUGAUUAGAUCCACGAGUUUUGACAUUCAAAUGACUCAAUUUGAGAUGGAUUUGAUUCAAAGGGAGGGGGAGGGGAGCCGACGCCUUUGUUGUACGGGCGGUUGGGAGGAAGAUGCCCUCGUGGGGGUGCGUCUGGGCUGGGAUCCACCCAUGGACUCGCGACCACUUACAUAUUCAACUAAGAAACACCAGGAGCUUGCACACUUCCAACAAUAUUGGGUGAUUCAGCAUUUCUACAUGCCAUGUAGUUAGUCAACACCACCUCGGCGUGAUGAUGGGCUAGGCCAGAAAAAUCAGGCAGUUUGGUGUUCCUGAUUGUGGCAGAAACAACUUAAGCCAUCACAUUGCACAAGAAGGUUAAAUCAUACUAAAAAUUUAAUAGAAUGUCAUUUAAUGCUAAAUUUUCUUGUUGGGGAACAUUCAUGGGAAACAAAAAAAUUCCUACGCACACACAAUACCUAUCCAUGGUGAUGAUCAUCUACGAGAGGAGAGAGUGAAUCUACAUACCCUUGUAGAUCGCUAAGCAAAAGCGUAUAUAACGCGGUUGAUGUAGUGGAAAAUCUUCGUGAUCCAAAUCGCAGCCCAUCCCGUGAUCUUAUCACGACCCGUCCUACGAUCCCAUCAUGAUCCAUCCCGAUCUAGUGCCGAACGGACGACAUCUCCGUGUUCAGCACACAUACAACUCGAUGACAAUCCCCGCCUUCUUGAUCCAACAAGAAGGGCGGAGAGGUAGAUGAGUUCUCCAGCACGACGACAUGGUGAUGGUGGUGGUGGUGAACUAAUCCAGUAGGGCUUCACCUAAGCACCGCCGAACUAGACUAGAGGAGAAACAAAUCUAGAGAAAAGUAGAGGGAGCAUGUGGCAAUUGUUGUGUCUCAAAACCCUCAAAAUCUCUACUAUAUAUAGGAGAAGAGCAGGGAGGUCGCGGGCCCUAGGGCUGCCCCUUUGGGUCGGCCGAAUUGGGAGGAGAGGAGGAGUCCUCCUCCAAUCGUACUCCUAGUAGGAUUCCCCUUCCACUUGGAAACCUUUUUCCACCUUUUGUAUUUUUCCCUUAUUAUCCACUCCAGUCGUAUGGGCCCUUAGAGGUGGCUUCGGACAGCCCACCAGGGGCUGGUUUGCCUCCUCUCUUGGCCCAUGAAGCCCUAGGGUCGUCACACCCCUUCCGAUGGUCCCCCGGUACCCUCCCGGCACUCCCGGUACACUACCAUGAGUCCGAAACUUUUCCGGUGACCAAAACAGGACUUCCUAUAUAUCAAUCUUUACCUCCGGACGAUUCUGGAGCUCCUUAUGACAUCCAGGAUCUCAUCCAGGACUGCGAACAACCUUCGGUCAUCAACACCUAUAACUCAACUCUAUCAAAACCUCAUAGAACCUUAAGUGUGCAGACCCUGUGGGUUCUGGAACUAUGCAGACAUGACUGAGACACUCUCUGGUGGAUACCGCAAUAGCGGGACCUGGAAGUUGAUGAUGAGUUGAUGGAUAUACUUCUCGCCCCUUGUUGGAUACCACAAGUGGAAGGUGGAGAUGUAGUCAGCAACAGAUUUCCCUUGCACGGUAACUGUAAGGUUUAUCGAGCCAGGAGGACUCCUAGGCUCAACAAGUACGUGUCUUCCACCCUGGCGCUAGAAGAAGAUGUGGAUCUGCACACACAUCAAAUAACUUUGCUCCCAGUGAGUACAGAGAGGUUGUCAAUCUCUCCGGCCUUGUAGUUUGUAAAGGAUCAAAACACAAGCGGGAAAGUAAUAGUGAUUGCAACGGAAAAUUAAAUGAAAGCGGUAAAUGAUGGAGAAGUAAACAAUGAUGGUGAUAUGGACCAGAGUCACAUGAUGUUCACUAGUGAUGUAUCUCUCCCAAAAGAUGAUAAACAACUACGCUUGGGUAAACAAAUCACUGUUGGGCAAUUGACAGAAUUUUGAUCGCACCGCAAUGCUAGUUAUGCUACUUGAUAGUUAGAGGUUCAAUAGUAAUGGGCAGUACGCCAAGACAAGUAAACCGUUUAUUCAUCAGCAUCUACUUACUAAUCAUCCACCUUGAGAUAUCUAUCCAGAACAUCUCGCCGGUAUUAAGUUGCGAGCCCCACCUAAAGUGUAAACUCAAAGCAACGGAGAACUGCAUUAACGAACUAUGCAUAACGUAAACAAUCCUUGCAACCAUGGUCGGAAGCACCGUUGUUUUCUCCCUACUGGCAACAAACACAUUCCCUUGUCUCAUGUUUCUGUCACUCAAGCUAGACAUCGAGGGGCAUGAACCCACAAUCAUGCAUAGUGCUCCCUCUUGGAGUUACAAUCUACUACUCGGCCAAAGCAAUAAAUAACAACGGAGAACAUGCAUGAAUCACUAAGAAACAUAAUAUAAAAGGAUAAUCAAAUAUAUAACUCAUAACAAUAUGAACAUAAUCUCAUAAUCCAUCGGAUCCCAACAAACCAAGCAUAACAAUAGCAAGAGAAUUACAUAGAUGCCUUGAUCAUGUAGGGCAGCUCACAAGGACUAACCAAUGAAGCACAAGAUUGGAGAGAAGACAUCACAUAGCUACUGGUCAUGGACUCAUGGUCCAAGGAGGACUACUCACAGCACGUCCAGGAAGCGUCCAUGGCGGUGGAGAAGCUCCCGGAGGUCAAUCCUCCCUCUGGCAGGGUGCCGAGAAGAGGUCUCCUGACGCUCCCGAUCUCGGAAGCGAUGCGGCGGCGGAACGAUGGAGAAAUUCGCGAUUCCAGAAGUUGUUUAAGGGUUUCCUCUCGGGGCUCUAAAUAUAGGCCAAAGGAGGGCACCGGAAGAGGUGGGACCCACCCAGGCGGCCUCCUGGCGUGGCCUAGGGCCUGGCCGCGCCAACAGGUCGCCUGGGAGGCCCCUGGCCCCCCUCUGGCCCAUCUUCGGUAAUCCGGAAGCUUCUGUGUCGCUGAUUUUUUAUAUAUUUUUCUGGAAUUUUUCGGGCUUCGGAAAAUUGGGUAAAAACCCCUGCAAAAUAGUCAUCAGCACACAUAAACUGGCACUGGGUGCACUGAGUUAGUAGGUUUGUCCAAAUAUGUGUAAAAUGAUAUAAAAGUGUAGCAAAACAUAUAAGAAUGGAAGCCAAAAGAUCAUGGAACAAGCAGAAAUUAUAGAUACGUUUGGGACGUAUCAAGCGUCCAUAUUGGAUCCUACAUAUUCUACGAAGAUCUUUAUCGGUUGAACCUCUAUGUCAAGGAUUCAGUUAAUCCCAUAUGCAGUUCCCUUUGUCCUUCGGUAUGUUACUUGCCCGAGAUUCGAUUAUAGUUAUCUCUAUACCUAGUUCAAUCUCGUUACCGGCAAGUCUCUUUACUCAUUCUGUAAUACAAUAUCCCAUGACUAACUCCUUAGACACAUUUCUUGCAAGGCUUAUUAUGAUGUUGUAUUACCGAGUGGGCCCCGAGAUACCUCUCUGUCACACGAAGUGACCAAUCCCAGUCUUGAUCCAUGCCAACCCAACAAACACCUUCGAAGAUACCUGUAGAACACCUUUAUAGUCACCCAGUAACGUUGCAAUGUUUCAUACACCAUCGAGUUCUCAGAGUGCGAGGCAAACAAAGACGCGAUGACAAAGGCGGAGGCGGUUGAUCAUGCGAAGGAGCAGGACCACCUUCUUCGUAGGUCGUGUGGCCUAAGGUGCAGCUCGGACACGAGCCUGACGGACGGCUCCACCUCCACCUCCCACGACAAUGCACCAUCGCAUGCCGACGACGACAUGAAGGAAAAGGGGCACAACAACGUCGAGGAUCGAAAGGGGAUGGGACGAGCAAGAAAAUGGUGAUUGUUGCCUUCCCGUUUUAUUUAUGUUUUAUCUAUGUUUUAAGUAGUUUGUAGUAUGGAUUUUCAGUAUCCAGCAAUGAACUAUGUUUGUUUUUGUCCGACAAUGAAAUGAUGAUCGUGUUUGUACGUAGCAUUGCAUGAGUUUAAGAUUUCAGAUAUGAGAUAUGCGGAUAUGGAGAGAGAAAUUGAAGACAUGACCGGUUAGUGUCCACAAGCGUUUGUGGGGCCGGAUUGGUCAAGUCUGACUGUAGAUGCCCUAAUCUUUUAGGACGUGUUUGGUUGCACGCAUCUGCCCCAACCAGGAUUGGUUGGCCAUGAAAAAUGUGUUUGGUUGAGAACGCGGUAGGCUGGCUCGCAUCGGCACGAAGCUUAAAUCAUCCCAAAACUUGGCUCGCUAGAAACUGCCGAUUUGACAGUUUCUAGCAAGCUAGACUGAGUGCGGCGCAACCUCACACUUGGGGGAGCAAGCCGAAAGCGAGUGGGGAUAGCGGGAGAUGGAAUCAGUUGUGGUGGACGGUGCCAAAUCUAGCCUCACCCCCAUUUACCCGACCUUCACUACCUCUAGGACAACCACUUCCUUUAGCCUCACCACCGGCGGUGGCGGUGACUCAGAUCUGUGCAAGCGGUGAUGGCAGAGGCGACGGUGGACGAGGAGGCGAACGCAGCAGCAACACUAUCCGGCAGCAGGAGCUGCUGCUCCACUUCCAUUUGGCCAGUGUUUGGUCAUCCUUGAUUCAGCCAUGGGCCCCCAUUCGUCGUCCUCGUCCCUGAUGCCGGUAAGCAACACCCCCUCUCCCCUAUGUCGGUAAGCAACACUCGAACCUUAGAGUAACUGUUAAGAGGGAAUAUUGAGCUGUAAGAACGAGGUUAAGAUCCUGGAUUAGAAGCCAUCCCACACUUUCCCCACUCAUGUUAAGCUUGUUUUUACUUGUUGCAUUCUGCAUAACUGGAUCCUGCAAUGGGGUUGUGAUGAACUCGUGCCUCGGGAGGAAGAUGUGACGCUUCACGAUGUUGACACCGGUAGCCAUGGUGUGAAGGCAUUUGACAACGAAGCCUAGAAAAAUAAAAUGAUAAAGUGAGUACAUACAAUAUUGGAUAACAGAGGUAACACAAGGAUCUGAAGAUGAAAAAGAGCAAGGAGAAGAAGAGUAAGAAGCAACAAUAAGAACAACAACAACGGCAGCAGAAGAGGAAGAUGAAGUAUUAGCAAUAGUAGGAGAAAGAGGAAGAGGAUGGACUUCCAUCUAGUUAGCAUCGAUCAUGAAGUUUCCACAUUCAGCCAUUGGCUCUUAAUAAUAUGUAUAAUUAUUUGAUAAUAGACAGGAUGAAUCAUAAUUUGUUUCGUAGCUAAAAGUGAAACUGUUAAAAUAAUGUAUGGUAAGAUCAUUACUAGUGAAAAGUGGUGAGAACAUCUUAUGCAUGUUACGACCAAAUAGUGUGUUCCAUGUGUGCCUAAUGCAAUGCGGCCAACCGAACGAUAGGUCAAAAUUAUUUUCUAGCUAACAUAUAUGCGGACAGCUAAACUAUAUGUAAAUGAUGGUUUAGAGACUUUUUUUAACAAAGCCAUAUACAAAAUACAUGUAAUACAGCCAAAAAGAUGCACGCAACCAACCAUGUCCCUAUUCUUCUUUUUGAAUAUGUAUAUGUGUAUGGACGUGAGUGUAGAUAUUCGUGUGUACAUUUUGGUUGGAGUUGGCCAUAUGACCAGUGCGUGGCGUAAAGGAUAGUGCAGUGGUGGCAGUGCUUCACGUGCCUGCUUUACUGGUCCCUGCGUGCUCGAUGGAGGUCUACACCGUAAUGUGCAGAUGAUUACGCUAAAGCGCUCUCAAAUGCAACUAUUUCUCUGAAAGCUUUCACUGAAGGAAGCUUUAACCGGGGACGAAAGUUCAGGUACAGGUGCAGUGUUGGUUCACGCGUGCACCUGUCAGUAAUCGAUGCGCCUCCUGUCUCUGCCACGUUUUCCGCUUUCCUGGUUUCCCUGCCGUUGCUUUGCCCGGUUCUCGAUGUCGUGGGAUAAGGAUGGGGGUGGUGACUGUAUAGCGGGAUAUGCCAUGGAAUCUACCUACCCUACUUCCUUCCGGCAAAAGACAACGACGAACGGCCACGGCGGCGGCCGCUGGUUUCACGGUGCGACGGGGCGGCCCGGCUCGCGCUUCCAGUAGUACUACGAUAGUACUUCCUCCGUUUAAAAAUAUACUCCCUCCGUCCCAAAAUAAGUGUCUCAACUUUAUACUAGCUUUAGUAUAAAAUUGUACUAAGCUCGAGACACUUAUUUUUGGACGGAGGGAAUAUGUUUUUAGAUAUUCCGUUACAUACUGGAGUACAUAAGAAUUAUAUAGGCAUCUGUAGAUUCAUUCAAUUUGGUCAGUCGAGGCCUGCAAAUCUUCAUAUACAGAUCUAGGAACGAAUAAGAGGCCAACUUAACCCAUUUGAGUUGAAGAUGCUUAUACAGCGGCUGUGAUGUUGGGCGGCGACGGCGCUCAUGGCGUCGUUCCCUUCUUGAAGGCGCCGCUUUGGGAACCCUGGGGUUGGGUGGCGCUUGUGGGUGGUGGGCGACAGCGGUGGUGCGGCCCUAUCCUAGCAUGGAUCUCUGUCCGUUGCUUGGAGAUGGACUCGCGUAGGUGGAGGUCGUCGUCUGGCGUUAUGGUGAUGUCGAUGGCGGAGGCACCUGUGAGUGCGUCAGACCGGUUUGUGUCCCUGACCCGGUAUAUGGCUCGGUCGGGGCCUCCGGUUUUAGAUAUUAGGCUUAGGUGAGAGGUCUGAGUAUUUGGCUCAGCUUGCGCUACUUCAUCAUAUGAAUAGGAGUAAUGGCAGAUGUUGUCAAGAUGACGGAUCCAAGCUGUUGUACUACUUUGUAAGGCCCUUAAAAAUAAUCAAUAAAAUGGUUGCAUGCAUCGUGGGUUAUCCUCCUUUUCAAAAAAAAAAAAAUACAGCGGCUGUGAUUCUCUCUUGUGCAUAGUUCUCAGUUCUCACUGCCGGAGAAAUUAAUCUUCGUUCCACACUGUUCUUGGCUCUCUCUUGGGCUUCACAUUGACAACCACCGUUAGUUCCUCUUCCUAGAGAUCACAUUCUACAUCAUUUUUACUACCGGUCUUCUCGCAGAUAUUAGAUUCCCCCAUCACGAGGAGAGAGAGGAAGGGCAUGUGCCGCGCCCAUGCGCGAAUGUUUCUCCUCUUAGCGUGCAUGCACGUUGAAUCUUUCGAUAGUUGUGGCAAGUAAGAAAAAAAAACAGCAGUUUGGUGACCCAGCCAAAUUUUAAAUCUGAUUUAAACUAGAACAAACACACACACACACACCCCACACCAACGACGGAUACAGAGCUGACGACAUGCAGUUCAUUGCACGGCCAUGAAACAUCUCUAGCCACACAUCCACCACCGCAACUACUAAUUGAACAGCAAAUCCGACACGACGCGACAAGAUGAACCAACUAGCAGCUGCAUGCAAUACGACUAAGAUCCGCCAAGCUGCAGACUUAUUAAACAAACAUACCCAGCAGCAACCUAGCUACUCUAGCUCGCAAGCCAUUCCAUCGCUGGCUGGAUCUACGGCUUGUAGAAGACGAUCUUGAUCUCGUCGACGCCGUGGCACUUGCCUCCGGGGACGGAGUGCUCGAAGCACUUGCCGCCGCUGGUGCAGCCGGCGGUGGGGCAGUGGUCCUUCAGGGGGUGGCCGUGCGGGGUGAUGGAGACCCGGAUGGGCAUGCGCGACUGGUCGGUGCUCACCUGGUACCACGCCCCGCCGUCGUACCCGAGGUGGAACUCCGUCACCACGGCGUCCUGCACCUUCACGCGUCCAGUCCACGAGCACACGGUGAACGAAACGUGGGUGCCCUGGCGGAGCAGGUGGCCGGGGCUGUAGAGGAGCUUGCUGUUGGCCAGCGGCUCGAUGCCGAGGGAGAGGUCCUUGCCGCACAGGUUCUGCACCGUCACGUUGCGGCUCGGCUUACAGUUCUGGGGGUCCUGCCCGGCGGCGGACAUGGCAGUGGCUGCCAGCGCCACGGCGAGGAGGAGAGCAGCCAGGGGCUUGGAGAACGCCAUGAGCGGUUUCAACUGUUGGACGCUGGUUAGGUAGGAGUGGAGAGGUGAGGUUUGAGUUGAGGUUUAAGGCUCACUUUGAAGGGUAUUUGUAGGCUAAGGGAAGGAGAAUUAGGGCUUUGUCACGAAGGCUCGAGAUUCUUCUCAGCUAGCUGGGCAAUGCCCAAUCAGACGUGGUUAAAACUUUGUUUUGUCACUGCUACCAGUCACAUCGAUUUAUUGUCAGAUAAAGAUUUAUGAGAGAUCGAUGGCGCAGGACAACGUACUAUAAAAUGUUUUCUUCCGUUGUCUCAUACUGUAUUAAAAAUAGCUUGGAAGGACAAAAGGUUAAAUGAAUAUAAAACAUGACCUAAUGCGAUCGGAACAAACGAACAAAUAUACGUUUUCGAUCCAUUCUCGAUCCGUUUCGGUUCAAGCUUGAACCGCGUUUGCGGUUAAACAGACACGCGCGGACGGGGCGCGACGCGUGUGCUUGUUCGCCCCUGGCCCGCUAGUCACUGACACAACCCUUAUCCUGCCCUUUCCUCGCUCCGCCCUCGGCCCCUCGUCCUCAUCGCCGCCACGCCAGUCAUCCACCUUGCUUUGCCCGUCGAUGGAACAACCCCUUUUAUUCCUCCCUUGUUGUCGGUCCGCCCUUCGCCCACAAUGGUCCACCUUGCUGCUUGCGAAGGGGCUGGACGUGCCCUUUGCGGCCGCGUCUCCACCACAACCGCAAGGUGUUCGAUGCUUUGCUCUCAGGGUACCAUGGAUAGCGGAGAUGGAUACUUUUUCACAACUUGAUUUGUUCAUCGGAUGAUUCAUCCUCACAGGGUGAGGACAUAGUGGUGACAACAUUGGUAGUCCAUGACCACAUCAAUAGGACGUGUCCUCGAUUCAGGGGAUCAAUCUACGGCCAUGUUCGAGCCUUGAACCGCAAUAGGGAGAAAGGGUACCAUCUCCUCUAAUCCGACUACUUUGAGAGAACCGCGCUGUACAAACCGCAUCAAUUUUGUCGCCGCUUUCAAAUGAGGGGACAUGUGUUCAAUCGUAUUCGGGAAGGAGUGGUUGCAUAUGACACAUACUUUGAAUGCAAAGAGGAUGCCCUUGGCAAGCUUGGCUUCUCUUCUUACCACAAAUGCACUGCGACUAUUCGCAUGCUUGCAUAUGUAAUUCCUGGUGACCUUGUGGAUGAGUAUGUUCAUCUGAGUGAGUCCACGUGUCUCCAAUCAAGGUACAUUUUCUGCAACGACGUGGUGGCCGUGUUUGGUCCUGAAUACCUCAUAGAACCAAAUGUUGCUGAUACACAGAGGUUGUUGACGGUCAAUGUCGAGAGGAGCUUUCCGGGCAUGCUUGGUAGUAACGAUUGUAUGCACUUUAAGUAGAAGAACUGUCCAUUUGCUUGGCAGGGGUAGUAUAAGGGACAUGUGAAAGGUGCCACUGUCAUACUUGAAGCUGUGGCUUCACAAGAUAUGUGGAUAUUUCAUUCUUUCUUUGACAUGGUUGGUUCUCACAAUGGUAUUAGCGUUCUUCAGCAUUCUCCAGUGUUUGCAAGGCUUGCAGAAGGCCACUGUCCCAAGGUCAACUUUGAGAUAAGUGACCACCAUUACAACAAGGGAUAUUAUCUAGCUCAUGGUAUCUAUUCCCAAUGGUCCACUCUUGUGAAGACCAUACCCAAUCCGCAAGGAGAUAAGAGAUAGAGUUUUGCCCAAAUGCAGGAAAGUGUUAGGAAAGAUGUGGAGGGUGCAUUUGGUGUGCUUCUUUCUCGAUGUGGUAUCGUUCGAAACCCUGCAUUGACAUGGAGCAGUGAGAAGCUUUGGAAGGUGUUGACUGUUUGUGUGAUCAUGCACAACAUAAUCGUGAGGUGAGCGUGAUGGCAACAUCUAUGACAAAGGGUUUGAUUUACACGGUGAGAAUGUUGAGAGUGAGCACUCACCUCCUACAACCUUUGAAUAGUUUGUCCAAUUUCAUCGUGAGAUGCAUGAUCGGAACGCUCAUACUCACUUGCAAGAUGACUUCGUUGAGCACAUGUGAGAUCACAUUGGCAAUGAGUAGAUCUAUCGGUUUAAUCUCUUUUCGUGUGCCCAAACUUUGAGUGGUUUUGUAAGACUCUUUGCUAUUUUUUAAAAUUUAGUUGGAUUGUAAUAAAAGACUAUGUCGAACAUGAAACUAUUUGUUAUGUUUUAUUUGAACUAUUUCUGCUAAGCUUGAUUUUAUUGUACUUGGCCUCCGGCAAACGAGAUUGGGCACAAGAUGCGGUCACGCAUUGCGUGCCGGGAUGACACAAACCCAUACCCGGGCGAACACUGCCCCAUUACCACCCCAAAAGGACGAAAUCCAGACAAAAUAGAUGUUCGUUUGGGGUCGUGCGUUGGAGUUUCCGUAAGAGCAUCUACAACCGGACCCUCGCACUCAUCUCAAACUUUCGGGCAAGCCGCUUGAUCCCUAACUUGUCAUGAAAAUUUGACCCAACUCGACACAUCAAACGGGUCUCAAACGUCCGGGCUGACCAGCACCACUCAUAUCUAGCCCAAAUAUAGGUCAGAUAUCGGCCGCGCGGGCACGCCCGCCACGUCGGAUCCGAUAGCAUGACCCCAUCGCAAAUUGCACCAAAUCCACCCGGCUAAACUGCUAGAUCCAUUUGCUAUUUCCUAUCUUCUUCCUCCUCCACGCCGUUCGUAUCCUAGCUCCGUCACCGCAUGCGCUCCUCCACCGUUCCUAGCCUCUGCCCCUCCAGCUCUAGCAGAGCAGUCUUCUGCCCCGUCCUCGCCAUGGAGAACGUCGUCGUCGACCCGGAAGACUCCACGGUAUGUCUGGCAACUCUUUGUCCCCGCCUUACAUUGGAUGUGUUCGACAUAGUCUCUGACCCAAUUUUUUGUGAAACUAAUGAUGGAUUUCAAUGCUUCGUUGGGCGAGGAGUAUGGACCGACGCAGCUUGAUCAAAUGAUUCCAGAUGAGUUCUUCGGUUCAUCAGAUUCGGACGAAGAAGUGCACAUGAUCAUGCUCAUCACCAUGCAAGAGGAAAUGGAUCAACAAGUGGAGCACAUUUUCAAUCUCAAGGGCUCAAUCUAAGGGAGAAGAGUGAUCAAUUGGGAUAUGGUAUCCGGAGCAAAGCUACUGCAGAAGGAUUACUUUGCUCUGAACACAACUUUCCUGGAUGAUCCAUGGUUUUGUCGUUGUUUUUGCAUGCGAAAACCAUUAUUUUUGUGCAUUAUGGAUGCAGUGGAGGCACACGACAACUACUUCAAACUCACAAGGGGAUUUCUUAGGUCAACUCUCUUUCUCAGCCAAGAAGAAGUGUGCGGCUACUGUGAGAAUGCUUGCACUUGGUACUGUGAUAGAUCCCGUUGGUGAGAUGGUCAGGAUGGGGGAGAGCACAUGCCUCAAGACUACUGCCAAGUUUGCUCGUGUUGUCGUCAACAUGUUCGGAGCAUAGUAUCUCCAAAUGUGAAGGACACAGAGAAGUUGUUGGCUAUUGGAGAGGCGAGAGGGUUCCUGGGAAUGCUUGAAUCAAUUGAUUGCAUGCAUUGGCAGUGGAAGAACUACCCCAAAGGUUUGCGAGGAAUGUAUCAAGGUCACACCACAGAGGCCACCAACAUACUACAAGCGGUGGCAUCACAUGUAUUAUGGAUUUGGCAUGCUUUAUUUGGAAUGCCGGGUUCUCAUAACGACAUCAACGUGCUUCAACGAUCUCCGGUGUUCAGUAGGCUUUGCAAUGGGGAAUCACUUCUGUGCAACUACACCAUCCAUGACAGAGACUACAACACGGGAUACUAUCUUGCCGACGGCACAUAUCCUCAGUGGGAUUCAUUUGUGAAGACCAUAUCUGAACCAUAUGGCAAUAAACAAAAGCACUUCGCAACAAUGAAGGAAGCAGCUAGGAAGCAUGUGAAGAGGGCUUUCAGAGUGCUGCAAGCUCGUUGGGGAGUUGAUCGUGGAGCUGCAAUGAUGUGGGAGUUCGAAACUUUGUGGCAGUUGAUGUCUACUACACAACUUGUUCUUGUAGACUUGUGUUGGGCCUCCAAGCACAGAGUUUCGUAGGACAGUAGAAAAUUUCCCUCAAGUGGAUGACCGAAGAUUUAUCAAUCCGUGGGAGGUGUAAGAUGAAGAUGGUCUCUCUCAAACAACCAUGCAACCAAAUAACAAAGAGUCUCUUGUGUCCCCAACACACCCAAUACGAUGGUAAAUUGUAUAGGUGCACUAGUUCGGCGAAGAGAUGGUCAUACAAGUGUCAUAUGGAUGGUAUAAAUGCAUUUUUAUAGUUUGAAUAAAUAAAAACAGCAAGGUAGCAAGUAACGGAAGUGAGCACAAACGGUAUUGCAAUGCUUGAAAAUAUAGGUAGGUAUGGUGGACUCAUUUGGCACAAGUUUGGGUUUAGGAUUUGGAUGCACAAGCAGCAUUCCCCCUUAGUACAAGUGAUGGUUAGCAAAUAGAUUGAGAAGCGCCCAGCCAAGGAAUGAAAACCAUCAUAAAUGAACAUUAAACAUAACUAACACCAAAUAAUUUAACACAAGUAGGAUAUAACUUCACAUCAUAACUAUUGAGUCAAUGUGCAUGCAUAGGGAAUCACAAACUUUAACACCAAUAUUCUUACUAAAGCACAAUUACUCACCAACAUGACUCAUAUAUUAUUAUCUCCAUAUCGCAAAACUAUUGCAAGGAAUCAAACUUAUCAUAUCCAAUGAUCUAUAUGAAAGUUUUUAUUAUAUCUCCCCUGGAUAUCUAUCACUUUGGGACCAAUUUCAUUUAAAGCAAAUUGUCAUUGCUAAUAACAAGCUUUCAAACAGAUAUAAGUGAAGAACGAGAACACAAUUUUUUUAAAAUUUUCAACUCUCAAAAUAGUAUAAGUGAAGCAAGAGAGGAUUUCUUCAAAGUUUCUAAUAACUCCUAAAAUAAUCUAAGUGAAGCAUGAGAGCAUAUUCCAUCAAAAUAAUAGCACCACCGUGCUCAAAAAUAUAUAAGUGAAGUACUAGAGGAAUUCAAUCAAACUACUCUCAAAAGAUAUAAGUGAAGAUCAAUGAGUAGUCAAACAAUUAAGUAGCUAUGUGAGGUGUCUCUCUAAUAAAUAUUUUCAUAUCUGAGAUUUUCUUUCAGACAACAAAUAAAACAAAAGACACUCCAAGAAUAGCACAUAUCAUGUGGACAAAUAAAAUUUUAGGAUCAACAUAGGCUAACCGAUAGUUGUUGAUGAAGAAAGGUGGGAUACGUAGCAUCCCCGGGCUUAGAUUCUUGAGACUUCUUGAAAUAUUUACUUGGGGUGCCUUGGACAUCCCCAAGCUUGAGCUUUUGUAUCUCGUUCAAUCUUCUCAUAUCCCGGUUUCACCUAAGUCUCAAAAAUUUCAUCCAUACAAUAUUUGAAAAGAACUCGUGAGAUAGGUUGGUGCACAUAAGCAUAAAUAAACUCUUUAUGUACUGCCAAGACAAGUUUAGUAAUAAUUUUCAAACAUUAGGUACUCUAUACUACCAUUCCCACAAUUUAUAUCUACCAAUAUAGGCUAUGGAGACUAUAGGAUAAGUAGAUAACAAAACUAUGAAAACAAUUUGUCUAAAUAGGACACUUUGUAGAAAUCUAUCUAAAAUGUGUACUUCAGUAUUUCCAAAAAUUCUAAAAAUUUAGGACAUGAUAAAUAAUUUCUAUGAAAGUAUUGUGUAAAAUUUUAGAAACUCUCCACAUUUUAUAAAAUAUGGUAAUUGAAAUACUACAACAUAAGUUUCUCUUUUUAUACAACACACAUCGCACAUGUAAUUCAAGCUUUCUAAAGACAAUUCUUGGAACUUUUUAUUAAAAAGAAGAUUAUAAAUAACAUAUAACAGAUAACAAAAAAAUGAUGCUCAAAACAAAACACAUAUCAUCUGAUGAAUAAAAAUAUAGUUCCAAGUAAGAUAUACCAAUAAUACUGGAGAUGAAAAAUGGGAUGCCUUCCGGGGCAUCCCCAAGCUUAGAUGCUUGAGUCUUCCUUGGAUAUUACCUUUGGGGUGCCUUGGUAAUCCACAAGCUUAGGUUCUUACUGCUCCUUAUUAUCAUCAUAUCGGUAUCUCACCCAAAACUUGAAAACUUCAAUCACACAAAACUUAACGAAACUUCGUGAGAUGGGUUAGUGUAAUAAAGAUAGAUCAUUCACUUAGGUACUAUCAUGGCAAGAUUCAUAAUUGUCCUCACAUGAUACCUAUUGUAUUAUAUCAUUACGAUUAUUUAUAUCACUCAAUAUAAGCUAUGGAAACAAUAAAACAAGCAAACCAUGCUUGCAAGACAGAAUGUGUGAAAAACAGAAUAGUCUAUUAAGAUCUGAUUGAAAUCCAUACUUCCCUGACUCUAAAAAUUCUGAAACAUUAGGACAGCGCAGAUAAUUUACAUAUAAAAACUGUGUAACAGUUUCAGAAUUGUUUGACGCUCCAAUAAAAUCAGAUAAAUUCUAUACUAGACAUAAAAUUUUCUGUUUUUGCACAAAAUCAAACAAGCAAGUAUUCACACUAUCCCAAAGGAUUUACUUGGCACUUUAUUGAAAUAAAAGCUAGAAAACAUGAUUACCACGGUAUAUUAAUCAUGUGAACAGACAAAAACAAAAGUAAAAGUGUUGGGUUGAUUCCCAACAAGCGCUUUUCUAUAAUGCCUUUUAGCUAGGCAUGAUGAUUGCUAUGAUGCUCACAUAAGAAUAGUAUUUGAAACAUGCAAGAGAGCAUCAUUAAUCACAUGGAAAGCACAUUUAAGUCUAACCCACUUCCUAUGCAUAGUUAGAUUUAAAGAAAACAAUUUAUUAUAGAAAGAAUCAACUUGCAUAGGAAGGCAAAACAAGAAUGACUUCAAAACUUUGAACACAUAGGGAGGAAACUUGAUAUUAUUGCAAUACCUACAAGCAUAUGUUCCUACCUCCUAAUAAUUUUCAGUAGCAUAAUGAAUGAAUUCAACAAUAUAAAUAUCACAUAAAGCAUUAUUUUCAUGAUGCAGAAGCAUAUAAUUUUUAUUAAUACCCACACAAAUAAAAUUCUUAUCAUUCAUAGUACUCGGAGCAAACUCAACAAAAUAACUAUCAUGAGAUACUUGAUUGAUAUAAUCUAUGUGAAAAUGGAAAUCAUGAUGACAAGUUUCAUGGUUUUUAUUACUCUUUAUAACAUACAUGUCAUCACCAUAAUCAUCACGGAUAGCAACUUUGUUGUCAUAGUCAAUUGAAGCCUCUUCCAAAAUAGUGGACUCGUCACUAAAUAAAGUCAUGACCUCUCCAAAUUCACUUUUAUCAUUAUGAAAAAAUUCAAAACCCUCCAAAAUAGUGGGAUCAUUAGUACAUUGAGUUGACACUCUUCCAAAACCACUUUCAUCAAUAUAUUCAUCAUAAAUAGGAGGCAUGCUUUCAUCAUAAUAAAUUUUCUCAUCAAAACUUGGGGGACUAAAAAUAUCAUCUUCAUCAAACAUAGCAUCUCCAAGCUUGUGGCUUUGCAUAUCAUUAGCAUCAUGGAUAUUCAGAGAAUUCAUACCAACAAUAUUUCUAUCAUGCUCAUUAAUCAAGGGUUUUAUGCCAAACAUUUUAUUGAAUUCCUCUUCUAUCAGUUGAGCACAAUUUUGAUUUCCAUGAUUUUCAUGGAAGACGUUAUAAAGAUAAACAAUAUGGGACCACCUCAAUUUCAAUUUUUGUAAGUUUCUUUUUAUAAACCAAACUAGUGAAAAACAAGAAACUAAAAUAUUUAACUGCAAGAGCUAAAUAUAUACCUUCAAGCAUUCACCUCCCUAGCAACGGCACCAGAAAAGAGCUUGAUGUCUACAACACAACUUGUUCUUGUUGACUCGUGUUGGGCCUCCAAGCGUAGAGUUUUCUAGGAUAGUAGAAAAUUCCCCUCAAGUGGAUGACCUAAGGUUUAUCAAUCCGUGGGAGGCGUAGGAUGCAUAUGGUCUCUCUCAAACAACCUUGCAACCAAAUAACAGAGUCUCUUGUGUCCCCAACAUACCCAAUACGAUGGUAAAUUAUAUAGGUCCACUAGUUCAGCGAAGAGAUGGUCAUACAAGUGUAAUAUGGAUGGUAGAAAUACAUUUUUAUAAUAUGAAUAAUAUAAAAACAGGAAGGUAGAAAGUAACGAAAGUGAGCACAAACGGUAUUGCAAUGCUUGAAAAUGGGGCCUAUGGUCCAUACUUUCGCUAGUGCAAUCUCUCAACCAUGCUAGUAAAUCGGAUCACAUAACAUUUUCUUGACGUGCAGUAAAGAAUCACCCCAAAGUUCCUAUCUAGCAGAGAACAUAAGAAUAAAUUGUUUGUAGGGUAAGAAACCACCUCAAAUUUAUUCUUUCUGAUCAAUCUUUCCAAGAGUUUGUACUAAAAAACAAGUUAUCCUUUCUGAUCGAUCUAUCAAACAGUUCGUACUAAAAUAACACCAUAACAUAUUCAUAUUCAUAAUACUCACUCCAAAACAAAGAACCUCAAAGACUGCCCCAAGAUUUCUACGAGAGAAACAAAUGGGAGAAUGUACAUCAACCCCUAUGCAUAGAUUACCCCAAUGUCACCUUGGGAAUCUGCGAGUUGAGUGCCAAAACAUAUAUCAAGUGAAUCAGUAUGAUACCCCAUUGUCACCACGGGUAUUCACAGAAAUAAAUAAAUCAAGUGCUAUCAAAUCCAUAAAAGUAUUCAGUCCUAUAAAACAAAAUCUCAAAGGGAAAACUCAAUUCAUCACAACAAGAUAGAGAGGGAGAAACACCAUGGGAUGCAACUAUAUUAAUAAAGCACGCGAUACAUGAAGGUCGUGCCAUCUCAAGAACAUGAGAGAGAGAGAGAGAUUAAACACAUAGCUACUGGUACAAACCCUCAGCCACGAGGGUGGACUACUCCCUCCUCAUCAUGGUUACCAUAAGGAUGUUGAAAAUGGCCUCGAGUGAUGAUCUCCCCCUCCAGCAGGGUGCUGGAACGGGCUCCCGGUUAGUUUUUCAUGUCUACAGAGGCUUGCGGCAGCGGAACUCCUCAUCUCGGGUUAUUUCUGGAGGUUUCUAUAUUUAUAGGAUUUUUGGGCAUUGGAAUCACACCAAGAUGGGCCAUGAGGUGCCCACUACCCACCAGGGCACGCUAGGGGGUAGGGGCGCCCUGGUGCCUAAUGGGCCCCACAGGCCUCCCCUCGUGUGCUUCCUUGACCGUGUGGAUGUCUUUUGGGGAAAAAAUCUCCACAACAUUUCCUGACAUUUGGACUCCAUUUGAUAUUGAUUUUCUGCAAAGUAAAAAACAAGCAAAAAAUAGCAACUGGCACUGGGCACUAUGUCAAUAGGUUAGUCCCAAAAAUGAUAUAAAGUUGUAAAACAUCCAAGAAUGAUAAUAUAAUAGCAUGGAACAAUAAAAAAGUAUAUAUACAUUGGAGAUGUAUCAAAAGUUGGUGACGUAUUGUGUUAUUUUGCAUAAUAUGAUCGUCGAGGAUGAGGGUGCUGGUGUAGCUCAAACCAAUAAUUUUGAAGAACCCGGAGAACAAGUUGAAAUCCGAGAAGAUCAAGAUCCAGUUCAACUUAUGAACUUUCUGUAGAUGCAUCGUAAUCUCCGAGGUCAUCGCAUGCAUGUGAAACUACUCAAUGAUCUGGUGGAGCAUAUGUUGACCCAUAAUGGAAAUUAAAGAGCACAUGAUUGAUUGUGCACUUCAAAUAAAGUUUAUGUAAACACUAUUUAUGUUCGGUAUCGACAUUUGUUAUUUAUGUGUGACAUUGGUUUGUGUGAUCGACGUGCAUGAUUUUGCAUGGAUUUGAGAGUCUAGAUAUGAGAUAUGUGGAUGCGAGGAGCGAAAUAUGAGGGGUCGUUCGGAUGCGUCCGUAGGCGUGCUCGGGCGAGCCCACGGACAUAUAGGGGCCAUAUUUUCUCAGUCUGUCUCUAGAUGCUCUAAGUUAAGUAUGAUCUAGGUUGCUUUCAUACUUUCUUCACAUCUGAUCAUUUUCCUACUUCAAGCCCAACUGCCGAUAGGGGUUAACCACCUACUACAGGAGGGCCUCAACGGUAGGCUUGACAACAUACAUCGACGAAUAUCAUGGGUUGUUAACGUGGAUUAUUACCUUACCGCUAGCCUCUCUCAUGGUAGGUUGUCAACACCCCCUCCCCUCCCCGACCCCGCAAAAAAAUGUCGCACGAUACUACAACCUACCGCCAAGAAACUACAUGGUACGGUUCAACUCUAGCAUAUACGUACUGUUUCAUAUAAAAAACAUUUCUUGUCGGUAGGGUACUACACUGUACCGCCACGACAUGGCUGUAAGGUUGAGCCCCGAGCAAAGAGUGAAUUGUUUCCUUUAAAUAUUGUUUUUAGUACUUUUUAUUACCCUACCAACAGGGACCUUGGCGGUAGGGUACUUUCCUUUGAAAGCAGGGAAAUAUUUUUAAAUGAUUUUAGUCACAAAAUAGAAAGAUAAUUUGCUUGUCCAUUUAAAAAAUGAUAUAGAUCAUAUCAUUUCCUAUCUAACAUAAUAAUACGUAGCAUCACAUGGUUCAACGUAGUUCCAACAAACAUAGAAAAUAGUUUCACAUGUCCAACAUAGAAAAUAGUUUAGCAUAUCAACAAUAGGAAGUACUUCAACAUAGCCGACAAGUUCUCAUUCAGCUCAACACAUAGCAAAUAAUUUUACAUGACCAUCUCCCUUAUCAUUCCUACCCCUCUUGGCGGUAGCUCCUCGUUUCUUGUAGCGGAUCUCUUGUGUUGUUGUUUGGCGAUGAGGACGAUCUUUCAGAAAUGAUGAUGGACUCUUACAAUGCUUGCAAGGUUGAUGUUCCCUUUUCUCCUAGGUUGGACAAGUGGGUAGAGGUAUGUUAUCCUCAUAGUGCUUUUCCUCGUUGCCCUCCUUCUCAUCCUCCUCAAUUAUCUCACAUUGCUCUUCAUCCUCUUCUUCCUCGGCCCGCUCAACAUGGAGAGACGACGAGGUGGCAUGGGUAGAGGAAGUUGCGCUGGCAUGGCUCGAGGAAGCGACGAUAUGUCCACUAGCAUAUGUUGAUGGCACAGGAUGAUACACAUCAACUGAGCUAGCGCACCCAACCAUGCCCACUAGCUUUCGACAAUGAUUCAUGGACUUGGGCGACAACAAAAAGGGUUGACAAAGUUGAUGGUUACUUCAAGAUUAUGGCUAUACUCAAGCUUACUUUCGUCGCUUCCCUCAACGCGUCCGAUUAGGGGAUCCCGGGUGUGCACACUAGCGUGUUCGAGUCCUCGAAGAUGUUUCUAUUCAGCUCUAAACUCUACAAAUUUAAGCAUCGUAAAUAAAUUGGUGACAAAGACUAUACAAAUGUCAUCCCCAACCAAUUGAGUAGAAUUUACCACUCUGUUAAUAAGGGGGUGCAUACUCCCUAAAUUCACCUUGGCUCUCUCCAAUGUUGGCAUUAUAUGCUUCAUCCUCGGCGUUGUCCUCCUCUAGUGAUGUGAUAUCUUCUGCCGUCCACUAUGGCCUCACACACGAAUGGUACUUUCCACCAUCAUCAAACCACUUUAGAUGUCGCUCAUACGCCUCCCAGCUCACCACUCACUACUGGAAAAACAUAAUUUGCCGACAGCUUUUAGCUUUGCCGUCAGCAAUUUCACGGGGCUGAUGGCAUAGAGACUUUUCCCUUAGCCACACAAAAUGUUGAUUAUAUAGACGUGGCUGACAGCAUAGAAAAUCUAUGUCGUCCGCUUUAUCUAAGCCGUGAGCCAGCUGACGGCAAAGGACCAAAAGACUGACGACAUAGGGCGGCUAACGACAUAGGGAGCUAACCCGGUCCCACGUUCUACCAGUGCUUAACGGGAGCCGUCUUUGCCGACAACCAGCUGAGGGCAAAGACUAACACUACUGGAAUUCCUAUAUUUGCCGUCUGCCAAAUCUUUGCCAUCAGCCAGCAGACGGCGAAGAACCUCUUUACCGUGUGUUGGCAAAAAACAGACGGUAAAGAGGAGGCUGAUGGGAAAAUACAUAUUUGCCAUCAGCCACCUCUUUGCCGUCUGUCAACAGACGGCAAAGGUAGGGAUGGCAGACGGCAAAGCUAUCCCACCCACCCCUCCUCUCUCCCCAUCCCACCNNNNNNNNNNNNNNNNNNNNNNNNNNNNNNNNNNNNNNNNNNNNNNNNNNNNNNNNNNNNNNNNNNNNNNNNNNNNNNNNNNNNNNNNNNNNNNNNNNNNNNNNNNNNNNNNNNNNNNNNNNNNNNNNNNNNNNNNNNNNNNNNNNNNNNNNNNNNNNNNNNNNNNNNNNNNNNNNNNNNNNNNNNNNNNNNNNNNNNNNNNNNNNNNNNNNNNNNNNNNNNNNNNNNNNNNNNNNNNNNNNNNNNNNNNNNNNNNNNNNNNNNNNNNNNNNNNNNNNNNNNNNNNNNNNNNNNNNNNNNNNNNNNNNNNNNNNNNNNNNNNNNNNNNNNNNNNNCUCCACCGCCGCCCUCCUCCCCCUACGACCCUCCUCCCCCUGGUAAGUUUCUCUUUUUUUUAAUAGUUUUUGUUUAAUUAGUUCUUACUUUUAGUUUAGUUUUAGUUUCAGUUUUAGUUUAGGUUUAGUUAGGUUAGUUUCAGUUUUAGUUUAGUUAGUUUCAGUUUUAGUUAGGUUAGUUUCAGUUUUAGUUUAGUUUUAGUUUUAGUUUCAGUUUUAGUUUAGGUUUAGUUAGGUUAGUUUCAGUUUUAGUUUAGUUAGUUUCAGUUUUAGUUAGGUUAGUUUCAGUUUUAGUUAGGUUAGUUUCAGUUUUAGUUUAGUUUUAGUUUUAGUUUCAGUUUUAGUUUAGGUUUAGUUAGUUUAGGUUUAGAAGAAGAAGAAGAAGGAGAAAGGAUAUGAAGAAGAAGGAGAAAGGAGAAGAAAAAAAUAAGAAGAAGAAGGAAAAGAAGAAGAAGGAAAAGGAAGGGAAGGAGAAGAACCAAGAAGAAGAAGAAGAAAAAUAGGAGAGGAAGAGAAGAAUAAGAGGAAAAAAGAAAAUAAGAAGAAGAAGAAGAAGAAGAAGAAGAAGAAGAAGAAGAAGAAGAGAAGAAGAAAACAACAAGAAGGAGAAGAAGAAUAAGAGGAAAAAAGAAAAAAUAAAAUAAGAAGAAGAAGAAGAAGAAUAAAUUAGUAGAUUUAGUAGGUAGUUUCUGUUAGUUAAUUAGUAGAUUUAGUAGGUAGUUUAGUGGUAGAUUAGUAGUUUUAGUGGUAGAUUCUGUUAGUUAAUUAGUAGAUUUAGUAGAAGAAAAGAAGAAGAAAAGAAGAAGAUAAGAAUAAGAGAAGAAGAGAAGAAAUAGGCAAAAUGGGCUAAUUAACCCAACAAUGACAUAACCUGAAAAGUAGUAUAGGUAACCUGGAAAGUCCUCUGGACCAAAAGGGCAACUUCUGGACCUGCUUAAUAGAAAGAAUAGGAAGAAGAAGAGGAGAAGAGGAGGAGGAGAAGAAGAAGAAGAAGAAGAAGAAGAGGAGGAGGAGGAGGAGACAAAAAUAAGAAGGAGAAGAAGAAAAGAAGUAGUAUAGGACAAUGACAUAACCCAGCUCAUUAAUAUUAUAUACUUAGCUUGUUUUCCUCUAAAAUGGGAUAAUUAGCCCAUUUAGCUCAAAAAAGACAUAAUUAGGUAAUUUAGCUCCAACAUAAUUAGGUAAUUGUUGUACGAGCUCCGCCCCUGCAUUCGUGGGUCAGUACAAAUUUCAUCUCCUCCCCGCCCCUUCAUUUACUGUGGCUCGGUUUCCGGAUGCAACUUUCUAGAUUUAGGUAAUUCAAUUAAUUUAUCAGUAUGCGUGACGAGUAUGCGUCUCCCGUUCGAGAGGGCGACAUCUAUAAAUAUGCAUGUCUUUGCAUAUUUAUAACCGCCAUCCUUUCGAAUUGUCCAACAUUAUCCAUGGACAGCCCGAGUAUGUGUAGAUUGGGUUCGUUUUCCCGUAUGCUGUGCUCUGGAUCCGAUGCGGAAUUUCGUCAGUGCCUCCCUGUUGUUCUCCGGAUGCACAUCCUCUCUGUUUAUUGCGGAGACGUGUAUCAGGAGAACAGCGGAGAGGUGCUGCCGAAAUUUUGCGUUGGAUCCGAAGCAGAGCAUGGGAAAACGAACCCAAUCUACACAUACUCGGGUGGGAUUAGGACCUAUCUUUACCUAUUAGCGUGUAGGUUGCCUGGACGUAAUAAAAAUGGCGAAAGAUGAAUAUAAAUGCUAAAUUAUAUAUAAAUAUAUUUCUUCUGUCUUUAGUAGCUACGCAAGAUGAGUGAUCGUGCGUGGAUGUAUACCGGUCACCCUAGUCAGAAAGAGAUGACGAAAGAAUGGUUUUUAAAAACAAAGGAAUUUGUGAAAGCCGCAUUCGCAAAUGGCCAGGAAAGAAACUAUUGCCCCUGUCCUGGAUGCGACAACUAUAAAAAGACGACAGAGGCUGUAAUGAUUAAACACCUGCAGAGGAGGGGUUUUAAGCCUAAUUAUACGGUGUGGACAUUUCAUGGUGAGUCUAUACAACGCACAAGAGCUGAGGUGGUCCGUCGUCGCACGGACGAGCAUGGUACUGGGAUCGAAGACAUGGUGCAAGACAUUGAUGAUGCUCGGGAUUCGGAAGAUGAGAUGGAGGAAUCUGCAAAGGCCUUUUAUGAAAUGUUGGAGUCUUCAAAACGUCCUCUCCAUGAGCACACCGAGCUCUGUUAGCUGGAUGCAAUUGCACAAGUAAUGGCUCUGACACUAUUUGGACGUUUCCUACCCAAAGGCCAUGUCAUGCCUGCAAACCUGUACCAGUCAGACAAAAUACUUCGUGUACUUAAGAUGCCCUAUGAGAAGAUAGAUGCAUGUGAGAAAGGAUGUGUCUUAUUUAGGAAGGAGUAUGCACACUUGGACUAUUAUCCCAAUUGCGAGUCUUGCAGGUAUCUUGUGGUAGACAACGGUAUGGGUGAGAAGAGGCAGACCAAAAUCGCAGUUAGUGUUCUUCGGUAUAUGCCAAUCGUACCAAGACUUCAGCGUCUUUUCAUGGUCUUUUUUAUGUUGUACUAAUUUCUUUUAAUCUUUAUCAUGGCAGGUGUUGAAAGAUGGUGGGCGCGGGUCCAGAUCGCUCGACAGGUUCUUCCCAGGCGCCCCGCACGAGGGGUGGUACUUCCAUUCCACCCCUAUCUCUCCGUAGAGCCUUGGCAGACAGUCUUUCGACACCAGCCGUGGGUUCUUCUUCGUCGGCGGCAUUGCUUGCUGGGAGAGGUGCUGGUCGGGUAGGGAAGAAGGGGAAGGGUACAGGGAGAGGUGGUGGCCGCGGAAGAUCCAGGAGGACUGUUGAGCCGUCCUCGCCACCACCACCAGCUCAUUCACCAGAGCAUAGGACUAGUAUGGUCGACCCGUUUGCAGAGGAGGCUACGGGGACUCCGGUCCAGGAGCCUGGUGUUCACGGGCAUUCGUCCCAUGAGACUCCGGUCCAGGAGCAGCCUCGGGUCGAGGUGCACUCGGCCCAGGAGCAGCCGGAGGAGACUACGGUUCCGGAGGCUUCACCCGACGUGGAGAGGUCCGGAUGGGAGCCUUGGCCGGAUCGUACCGAGUUGCCGGAUUGGACCGAGGGUCCGGGUGGCUCAGGGAGCGGGGAUGGCGGGGAUGAGCUUACAGAUAGCGAGGGCGAUGUGCAGGUGGACGGGGCCCCGGCUACCGUGUACAAGCGUGGUAGUACACGUCUCCCGGUCGCCGCGGCUACCCGCGAGCAGAGGCCGGUGAUUAAACCUGAAGGAGAUAGGUAAGUACAUUUACCCUUUUUUUAGCUUUUGCCUUCAAGUUUGUUCAAAUAUCUAAUGCGCUGACCUUAUCAUACUGCAGGGGAUGGGUACAACCUCUUGGAGUCCGCAGGCCGAACUCCGUCCUUGGUGUGCUUUGCCGGACAAAUUUCCCGGGGUUUGUCACGUUGCCUGGUGAGGGUCAGGUUCCUACACUAGGAUUUACCUGGGAGCACUACCAGGCUGCGCAGGCCCUGCCGGAGGAGAUUAUAGAUGGUGUCUUGUGCCACACGAGGGCCGAGAUGGUGAUCAAGAGCUUUUGGGUAAAUUAUCCUUUUACAUAAUCUAAAAUUAACAAUAUAGCUAAUUAUGGUACUAAUCGGUGUUUUCACGUUUGAUUGCAGACCUUCUAUAGGUGUGAGGAUGGAUAUGAGGAGGCGGCGGCCAGGGUUCUCGAGGUCGAGUGUAGGCGGUUACUACAGAACUUGCGCCACGAGGCUCGGCUGCAGGCUAUUCGAGAUUACUACGCCACGCGUGGUAUUAAGAAGCAGAAGAAGGAUUGCCGCGGAAAGUUUCUGAAGAAGGAGCAAUACAUGAAGGUAAUUACCUAUUCUUAAGUCCUUCUACGUAGUUUUCUUGAUUUCAUUCAUAGGCGUAGCGCUGAAAAUUCUUUCUAAUAACUUACAGGUGCCCCCGAGAUGGUGUGCGGAUAAGAUGGAUUGUUGGGAGGCGUUGGUUGAUGAGGGGUGCACAGGCAACUGGCGAGUCGUCCACGAUAAUGCGAAGGAUCGGCGUAGCCAAAUGGUUGGUGUGCCACACCAUCAAGGUAGUGCCAACUUACUUCAGUUUGGACCAAACUGAGUAUGUGAUUUGCUUCAUGAUUCAUGCAAUUCAUUCUUAUGCUAAUAUUUUGUUCCUCUCUUUUAGGCGCAUCACAAUAAGACUGAGAUGCCACACUUGUACGACCUUUAUGGCAUGGCCCAUGCUGCCUCGUACAAGAAGGCGAAGGCAUUCUCUGAGUCUGACCUGGAUGAUCCCAGUAACUUCACCAACAUAUCAUCCCACCAGAAGCUCGUGGCAUACAGGGACGCGGGGAAGGCUACGAAAGGGGAUGACUUUAACCCUAGCCAGGAACCUUUGGAUCCAGAGCUGGUGAUGAUAUCUGGUGGCGGGAGGCCCCAUGGCUCGAUAGCCAUUGGAGAUGGGAUAAUACGUUGUCCACUCACUCUUCCGGAGAUCAAGGCGCGCCAGUCGAGCAACUGUCCUGAGAUAACGCGUCAUCCACGGCCAGUCGAACUUGCCAUCGAGGUUAGUUGUACGGACUAAGAACACUUUCAUCCAUUUCAUUAUGUGUGUCACCAUAGAUCAUUAAUGUGGUAACGAGGAAUGGUUUUUCAGGCUGCUCUUCAGAAAGAGAGAGCGGCAAACCAGACUGCUCUUGAGAAAGAGAGAUUGGCAAGCCAGGCUGCUCUUCAGGCUGCUCUUGAUGAGAGGGACCAGAGCACGACACGAUUGCUUGAGGAGGAGAGGGCCCGGAAUGAGGCGGGUCAACGGGCCGUGUACGAGCUUUUUGUGGUAUGUUUUUUUUCACGUUAGCCAAAUCAUGUGUGUAAUGUCUGUUUCAAUACUAACUAAUACGACCCACUCUUCAGGGUCUGUGCGAGAAGAGCGNNNNNNNNNNNNNNNNNNNNNNNNNNNNNAGGGCCCUCCGCCGAUGCCCGUCUUCUCUUCGAUUGGCACGGUGAGUUUCAUUAUAAACUAGUAUUAAUAAUUGAGUGUCAUCAUGCUAACUGAGACAUUGCAAAAUAUCUUUUCUGCAGAAUAACUCCCGAGCGGCAUCGCACGACCCUUCUCCAGGGCAACCGUCUCCAAACGAAGCCGGCGCGAGCAACCGUGGUGUUUCUCCUCCUUGAUGACCACUACGGUAAGUUUCUCCUCCAAACUUAGCUUGUUUUCCUCUAAAAUGAGAUAAUUAGCCAAUUUAGCUCCAAGAAGACAUAAUUAGGUAAUUUAGGUCAAAAAAUACAUAAUUAGGUAAUUUAGUUCAAAAAAGACAUAAAGAGGAGGAGGAGGAGGAGGAGGAGAAGGCCAAGGACCUUCUAUCCUUCUCCUCCUCCUCCUCCUUCUUCUUGAUUUCUUCUUCUUCUCCUCCUCCUCCUCUUUCUUCUCCUCUUUCAUAUUAUCCUUGCUUUAAUUAACCCAACAAUGACAUAAUUAGCCCAUUUAGCUCCAAAAUACCAUAAUAAGCUCAAAAUGGCAUAAGGACCUUGGUUAGCUCAUGAAUAUUAUAUACUUAGCUUGUUUUUCUCUAAAAUGACAUAAUUAGCCCAUUUAGCUCCAAAAUACCAUAAUAAGCUCAAAAUGGCAUAAGGACCUUGGUUAGCUCAUGAAUAUUAUAUACUUAGCUUGUUUUUCUCUAAAAUGACAUAAUUAGCCCAUUUAGCUCAAAAAAGACAUAAUUAGGUAAUUUAGCUCCAACAAGAGGAGAAAAGGAGAAGAAAUAGGCAAAAUGAAAAGAAAGAAGAAGAAGAGAUGAAGAAGAAGAGAAGAAGGAGGAGGAGGAGGAGGAGGAGGAGGAGGAGGAGGAGGAGAAGGCCAAGGACCUUCUAUCCUUCUCCUCCUCCUCCUCCUUCUUGAUUUCUUCUUCUUCUCCUCCUCCUCCUCUUUNNNNNNNNNNNNNNNNNNNNNNNNNNNNNNNNNNNNNNNNNNNNNNNNNNNNNNNNNNNNNNNNNNNNNNNNNNNNNNNNNNNNNNNNNNNNNNNNNNNNNNNNNNNNNNNNNNNNNNNNNNNNNNNNNNNNNNNNNNNNNNNNNNNNNNNNNNNNNNNNNNNNNNNNNNNNNNNNNNNNNNNNNNNNNNNNNNNNNNNNNNNNNNNNNNNNNNNNNNNNNNNNNNNNNNNNNNNNNNNNNNNNNNNNNNNNNNNNNNNNNNNNNNNNNNNNNNNNNNNNNNNNNNNNNNNNNNNNNNNNNNNNNNNNNNNNNNNNNNNNNNNNNNNNNNNNNNNNNNNNNNNNNNNNNNNNNNNNNNNNNNNNNNNNNNNNNNNNNNNNNNNNNNNNNNNNNNNNNNNNNNNNNNNNNNNNNNNNNNNNNNNNNNNNNNNNNNNNNNNNNNNNNNNNNNNNNNNNNNNNNNNNNNNNNNNNNNNNNNNNNNNNNNNNNNNNNNNNNNNNNNNNNNNNNNNNNNNNNNNNNNNNNNNNNNNNNNNNNNNNNNNNNNNNNNNNNNNNNNNNNNNNNNNNNNNNNNNNNNNNNNNNNNNNNNNNNNNNNNNNNNNNNNNNNNNNNNNNNNNNNNNNNNNNNNNNNNNNNNNNNNNNNNNNNNNNNNNNNNNNNNNNNNNNNNNNNNNNNNNNNNNNNNNNNNNNNNNNNNNNNNNNNNNNNNNNNNNNNNNNNNNNNNNNNNNNNNNNNNNNNNNNNNNNNNNNNNNNNNNNNNNNNNNNNNNNNNNNNNNNNNNNNNNNNNNNNNNNNNNNNNNNNNNNNNNNNNNNNNNNNNNNNNNNNNNNNNNNNNNNNNNNNNNNNNNNNNNNNNNNNNNNNNNNNNNNNNNNNNNNNNNNNNNNNNNNNNNNNNNNNNNNNNNNNNNNNNNNNNNNNNNNNNNNNNNNNNNNNNNNNNNNNNNNNNNNNNNNNNNNNNNNNNNNNNNNNNNNNNNNNNNNNNNNNNNNNNNNNNNNNNNNNNNNNNNNNNNNNNNNNNNNNNNNNNNNNNNNNNNNNNNNNNNNNNNNNNNNNNNNNNNNNNNNNNNNNNNNNNNNNNNNNNNNNNNNNNNNNNNNNNNNNNNNNNNNNNNNNNNNNNNNNNNNNNNNNNNNNNNNNNNNNNNNNNNNNNNNNNNNNNNNNNNNNNNNNNNNNNNNNNNNNNNNNNNNNNNNNNNNNNNNNNNNNNNNNNNNNNNNNNNNNNNNNNNNNNNNNNNNNNNNNNNNNNNNNNNNNNNNNNNNNNNNNNNNNNNNNNNNNNNNNNNNNNNNNNNNNNNNNNNNNNNNNNNNNNNNNNNNNNNNNNNNNNNNNNNNNNNNNNNNNNNNNNNNNNNNNNNNNNNNNNNNNNNNNNNNNNNNNNNNNNNNNNNNNNNNNNNNNNNNNNNNNNNNNNNNNNNNNNNNNNNNNNNNNNNNNNNNNNNNNNNNNNNNNNNNNNNNNNNNNNNNNNNNNNNNNNNNNNNNNNNNNNNNNNNNNNNNNNNNNNNNNNNNNNNNNNNNNNNNNNNNNNNNNNNNNNNNNNNNNNNNNNNNNNNNNNNNNNNNNNNNNNNNNNNNNNNNNNNNNNNNNNNNNNNNNNNNNNNNNNNNNNNNNNNNNNNNNNNNNNNNNNNNNNNNNNNNNNNNNNNNNNNNNNNNNNNNNNNNNNNNNNNNNNNNNNNNNNNNNNNNNNNNNNNNNNNNNNNNNNNNNNNNNNNNNNNNNNNNNNNNNNNNNNNNNNNNNNNNNNNNNNNNNNNNNNNNNNNNNNNNNNNNNNNNNNNNNNNNNNNNNNNNNNNNNNNNNNNNNNNNNNNNNNNNNNNNNNNNNNNNNNNNNNNNNNNNNNNNNNUCCAACAAGAGGAGAAGAGGAGAAGAAAUAGGCAAAAUGAAAAGAAAGAAGAAGAAGAGAUGAAGAAGAAGAGAAGGAGGAGGAGGAGGAGGAGGAGGAGGAGGAGGAGGAGGAGAAGGCCAAGGACCUUCUAUCCUUCUCCUCCUCCUUCUUCUUCUCCUCCUCCUCCUUCUUCUUGAUUUAUUCUUCUUCUCCUCCUCCUCCUCUUUCUUCUCCUCUUUCAUAUUAUCCUUGCUUUAAUUAACCCAACAAUGACAUAAUUAGCCCAUUUAGCUCCAAAAUACCAUAAUAAGCUCAAAAUGGCACAAGAACCUUGGUUAGCUCAUGAAUAUUAUAUACUUAGCUUGUUUUUCUCUAAAAUGACAUAAUUAGCCCAUGUAGCGCAAAAAAGACAUAAUUAGGUAAUUUAGCUCCAACAAGAGGAGAAGAGGAGAAGAAAUAGGCAAAAUGAAAAGAAAGAAGAAGAAGAGAUGAAGAAGAAGAGAAGAAGGAGGAGGAGGAGGAGAAGGCCAAGGACCUUCUAUCCUUCUCCUCCUCCUCCUUCUCCUCCUUCUUGUUGAUUUCUUAUUCUUCUCCUCCUCCUCCUCUUUCUUCUCCUCUUUCAUAUUAUCCUUGCUUUAAUUAACCCAACAAUGACAUAAUUAGCCCAUUUAGCUCCAAAAUACCAUAAUAAGCUCAAAAUGGCAUAAGAACCUUGGUUAGCUCAUGAAUAUUAUAUACUUAGCUUGUUUUCCUCUAAAAUGACAUAAUUGGAAUAUUUAGCUCAAAAAGAAGGAGAAGGAAGAAGAAGAAGAAGAAGAAGAGAGGAAGAAUAGAAGGAGAAGGAGAAGAAUAAGGAGGAGGAGGAGAAGAAGAAGAAGGAGGAGGAGAAGAAGAGAAGAAGAAGGAGAAGGAGGAGAAGAAGAAGGAGAAAGAGAAGGAGCCCUCCUUCUUCUCCUUCUUCUUCUCUCCUUCUUCUCCUCCUUCUUCUCCUUCUUCUUCUCUUCUUUUUUCUUCUUCUCCUCCUCCUUCUCCUUCUCCUUCCCCUUCCCCUCCUCCUCCUCCUCCUUCUUGUUUUUCUUCUCCUUGUUCUCUUAUUGCUUAUUCUCUUUCUUCUUCAAUUUAGCUUAUUUGUCAUAUAUAUGUUGUUGUUCUUCUUCUACUUACUUUCUUAUUCCCAUUUUGCAGAUUGGAUGUACUACAUGCAUGGAAGCUGGCGUUGGAGUGCUUUAGUUUCCGUUUUUAUUUGAGUUGAUGAACAAUGUGUUGGUUCUUUGUAUGUGUUGAUGAACAAUGUGUUGAUGAACAAUAUAUGUGCAACUAUAUGUAUGUAUAUAUGGAUGAAACUUCGUAUGUGUUGGUUCUUUUGAUAUAUGGGAUGUACAUUGAUGAACAAAUGGCAUUGAUGAGCUUUAUAUGUAUAUCAUAUAUGUGUUGUGAUCUAUUUAUGAUAUAUGUGCUCUGAAUUAUAUGUAUAUGUGAUGUGAAAUAGAAAAAAUAAAUAAAAAUGGGACAAUAUAGGAUCUUUGCCGUCUGCCAGCUGAUGGCAAAGGCCUUUGCCAUCAGCCAGCAGACGGCAAAGGUGCCACGUGGCGCCUAGCUGUGCAACCUGGGCAGUAGCAGCUGGCCAUAUAGUCUCUUUGCCGUCUGCCAGUUGGGUGGGCAGACGGCAAAGAAGAGGGCACAGAGGAGGGGGCAGAAGACAAAAGUGGAGAGAGGGGGGAGGGGAGGACAUGGCAGAUGGCAAAGAUAGUCAAGGGGGCAGACGACAAAGAUGGAGGGGGGAGGGGAGGGGAGGAGAAGGCGGACGGCAAAGCUUGACUGGGAGGCAGACGGCAAAGAUUGCCGAGGAGGCAGACGACAAAGGCUCCGUUAACCCCUAACGGAGGCAACGCCUCUCGGCUGCCGUCCCAAACUCUUUGCCGACUGCUCCUCAGGAAAGCUGACGGCAAAGAGCUUUGCCGUCCGCUUUAGGGGGGCAGACGGCAAAGAAGGUCCUAUGCCGUCGUAGGCUGACGCAGAAAAUUUGCCGGCCGUGACAAUCUUUGUCGUGUGUGGUACUGUCUUUGCCGUCCGGGUAUUUGUCUUUGCCGUCUGUGAUGGCAGACGGCAAAGAAGGUGAUUCCUGUAGUGUAACGGUUCUAUUUGCCGACAGUCGGCUGAGGGCAAAGACUAACGGAUGUCUUUGCCAACAGCCGGCUGAGGGCAAAGCCACGUGCCUUAUCCCCAGCCACACAAGGCCCUCUCCCGACCAGCCGCCUCACACCUCGCGAUCCCAUCUGCUCCCGAUCGACCCGCCGCCGUCCUCUCCCCGCGCCGCCUCCGCCCCGCGCCGGCCUCUACCCUGCGCCAGCCCCCGCCCCAUGCCGCCUCCGCCCCGCGCCAGCCCCGCCCUGCCUCCGCCCCGCGCCAGCCCCACACCAGUCACACCCCGACCACCCCGCGCCAGCCCUGCCCCGCGCUAGCCCCGCCGCGCGCGCCACCCCUCCCCCGCGCUCGCCCCGCCGCGCGCCAGCCCCGUCCCGACUCUCCCGUGAGCUCCUCCUCCUUUUUUUUUUCUUUUUUUUAGUUUAUUUUUUCUAUGUUAGUUAGAUCUGUUAGUAGUAGAUUUUUAGUUAAAUUUAGUUAGCAAUUACUUAGUGGUAGAUUUUUGGUGGUAGAUUUUUAGUUAGAUUUAGUUAGCAAUAGAUGUUAGUAGAUGUUAGUAUUAGUUAGCUAGCUAUUAGCAAUAGAAAGAAAAUAAUAAGAAGAAAAGAAAUAGAAGAAGAGAAGAGUAACAAAACUUGAAUAAUAAAUUAUUAAUAAUAGAUGUUAGUAUUAGUUAGCUUAAUUACCGCGAGUGCGUAUUUGUGUUGAUUGAGUGCAUUUAAAUGUGCAGUAGCUUCUCCGCGAGGGUUUGGUUUUCGACGACCUCCCCUGCAUUCGAAAGUGAGCACAUUUGUUAACUCCUCCUCCACCCCCUUUAUUUUGCUCUGGUCCGGCCUUCAUGCUGAUGACACUAUCUAGCUAGGUAUUUUUAGUAUUAAAAUGCAAAGUUGUUGCGUAACCAAUAUGCGUCUCCCGUUCGAAAGGGUUCCUGUUAUAAAUAUGCAUGAAUUUGCAUAUUUAUUACGGUGAUUCUUUCGAAUUGUCCAACGUUAUCCAUGGACAGCCCGAGUAUGUGUAGAUUGGGUCGUUUCCCACGCUUUGCUCUGGAACCCAUGCAGAGUUUCGACAGUGCCUCUUUGUUGUUCUCCGGGUACACAUCCUCUCGGUUAGUUGCCGAGACGUGUAUCAGGGGAACAACGGGGAGGUGCUGCCGAAAUUUUGCGUUGGAUUGAGAGCAGAGCAUGGGGAAAUGAUCCAAUCUACACAUACUCGGGUGAGAUUAGGACCCAUCUUUACCUAGUAGCUGGUAGGUGUGCAUGUCAUGCAUCCCAAUGUAUUAACCAUGAUUAAAAAAUGGCCAUAAUUAAUUUAACAUACUUGAUGACCUGAUAAUUUAUAUUGUUUAUAUGUGGAUACUAUAUAGCUAGCUUGCCAGAAUGACUGAUCGUGAAUGGAUGUACACCAGUCACCAUAGUCAGAGAGAGAUGACCGAUGAAUGGUUGAGCAAAACCUAUGAAUUCGUGGAAACGGCAUUUUCUAAAGGCCAACCAAACACAUGGUGCCCCUGCACUAAGUGCAAGAAUUAUUCGUGACAGACAAAGGAUGUAAUGGGUAAACACCUGCAGAUGCGUGGUUUUACUCCCGGCUAUACCUUGUGGACGUUUCAUGGUGAGUCGGCCCAACAUAACAGAGACGAGGUGUUGCGUCGGCGCACCGAUGAUUAUGGUACAGGGAUUGAAGACACGGUGAAUGACUUUGAUGAUGUUCGGAACAAGGAAGAAGAGAUGGAGGAAUCUGCGAAAGCCUUCUAUGCCAUGUUGGAGUCUUCAAAACGUCCUCUUCACGAGCACACUAAGAUUUCUCAGCUAGAUGCCAUCGCACAAGUAAUGGCUAUGAAAGCCCAAUUCAACAUUGGAAGAGACAUGUUUGAUUCAGUGAUGACCCUAUUUGGGCUCUUUCUACCCGAAGGUCAUAUUAUGCCUUCAAACCUAUAUGAGUCAGACAAAAUCCUUAGUGCACUCAAGAUGCCUAUGAGCAGAUACAUGCUUGUGAGAAAGGAUGUGCCUUAUUUAGGAAAGAGUAUGCGGACGAAACAUAUUGUCCAUUUUGCAAAUCCUCCAGAUAUGUUGAGGUAGAAAACGGUGAAGGUGAGAAGAAGAAAAGCAAAAUCCCAGUGAGUGUCCUACGGUAUCUGCCGAUCCUACCAAGACUUCAACGACUUUACAUGCUCGAAGAAACAGCAAAACAUAUGACAUGGCACAAACAUGGAAUUAGGAAAGAAUUAGUUGAACACGGAGUUCCGAUGUUGGUACACCCUUCAGAUGGUGACGCAUGGAAGGCAUUCGAUAGUAUACAUAAGGAAAAAAGCUAAAGAACCAAGGAAUUGUCGAAUCGCCAUCAACCUCGAUGGGUUCAAUCCUUUUGGUAUGACGGCUACCCAAUAUAGUUGCUGGCCUGUAUUUCUCAUUCCCCUCAAUCUUCCACCAUCAUCCAUUAUGCAAAGAAAGCACAUAUUUCUGACGUUGAUAGUUCCAGGGCCAAACUACUCGGGGAAGAAUAUGAGUGUGUACAUGCAACCGUUGAUGGAUAACUUGAAAGAAGCUUGGGUGAAUGGGGUCAACACAUACGACACAGCUAAGAAAGCGAACUUUCAAAUGUAUGUUUGGUACUGAUACGUCUCCAUCGUAUCUACUUUUCCAAACUCUUUUGCCCUUGCUUUGGACUCUAAUUUGCAUGAUUUGAAUGGAACUAACCUGGACUGAUGUUGUUUUCAACAGAAUUGCCUUGGUGUUGUUUUUGUGCACAAAUGAAAGUUCUCAGAACGUCCUGAAAAUUUACAGAGAAUAUUUCUGGAAAAAUAUGAAAAAUACCUACGCAAAGAUCCACCGGAGGGGAUGGGCCAGUGGGCCACAAGCCCUGUAGCCGCCACCCCCUGGUGGCGGCUAGCAAGCUUCUGGGGCCCACGUGGCUCUGCUGCCCCAAACUCAGCUCUAUAAAUUCACUUUCGUCCCAGAAAAAAUCAAGAGAGAAGAUUUCGUCGCGUUUGCGAUACGGAGGCGCCGCCACAUCCUGUUCUUCAUCUGGAGGGCAGAUCUGGAGUCCAUUUUGGGCUCCGGAGAGGGGAAAUCAUCGCCAUCGUCAUCAUCAACCUUCUUCCCUCUCCAAUUCCAUGAAGCUCUUCAUCGUUCGCGAGUAAUCUAUUUGUAGGCUCGCUGGGCGGUGAUGAGUAGGAUGAGAUCUAUCAUGUAAUCGAGUUAGUUUUGACGGGGAUUGAUCCCUAGUAUCCACCAUGUUCUGAGAUUGAUGUUGCUACUACUUUGCCAUGCUUAAUGCUUGUCACUACGGCCCGAGUGCCAUGAUUUCAGAUCUGAAAUUAUUAUGUUGUCACCAAUAUAUGUUUGUUUUAGAUCCGAUCUUGCAAGUUGUAGUUACCUACUAUGUGUUAUGACCCGACAACCGUGGAGUGACAAUAACCGGAACCACUCCCGGUGAUGACCAUAGUUUGAGGAGUUCAUGUGUUCACCAAGUACUAAUGCGUUGGUCCGGUUCUUUAUUAAAAGGAGAACCUUAAUAUCCCGUAGUUUCCUAUUGGACCCCGCUGCCACGGGAGGGAUGGACAAUAGAUGUCAUGCAAGUUCUUUUCCCUAAGCACGUAUGACGACACACGGAAUGCAUGCCUACAUCACAUUGACGAAUGGGAGCUAGCCACAUAUCUCUCCGUGUUAUAACCGUUGCAUGAUGAAUAUCAUCCAAACAAAUCACCGAUCCAUUGCCUAUGAGUUUGUCCCACUGCUGCUGUUACUUGUUUUGCUCGGCUGCUGUUACUUGUUUUGCUCUGCUGCAGUUUCUACUGUUGCUGCUGCUAUUACUUGCUUGCUCUGUUGUUACUUGCUACUGUUGCUACUUGCUACUGCUGUCACUACUGCUGUUCCUUGCCACUGCUGCUACUCGUUACACUGUUGCUACCUGCUACAAUACUGGUUCACACGACAUUGACGGGAAAGAAUAUUUCCCCUCCACGGGCAACUUCUGGUGCCAUUGAUACAAUCGCUAGGAAUAGUCUGCCGUCAACAGAUCGUUUCUGACACCGUUGUUAUCAUACUACUUUGCUGUUGAUACUUUGCUUGCAGCUACUAAUCUUUCAGGUGUGGUUGAAUCUGACACAUUCAGCUGCUAAUACUUUAGAGUAUCCUCUCACUUCCUGUCCGGCGAACCAACAAAUUUGGGAUGAAUACUCUACCCUCGAAAACUGCCUCGAUCCCACGCGUUGGUGGGUCAUUGCAAGACAAUUUCUAAUUGGUGAGUAAUCGAGAAUAGCAUUUGUCUAGCCAUUGCUAGGGAUUAUGAAUUCUGUGUUGACCCUGAGAUAAUCUCUCUAGUCGAAUCUGAUCCUUUUCACAGUUAUGAGUCUGAGACGGUCGUAGCCCAUCUUGCCAAACUACAUGAUAUAGCCACCCUUUUCACUAAUGAGAAGAUCCGCCACUACUAUAUCCUUAAGUUGUUUCCUGUCUCUCUAAAGGAUGACGCUAAAGCCUGGUUCACCUCUCUUACUCCUGGAUGUGUGAGUAGUCCCCAGGAUAUGGUCUAUUACUUCUGUGAGAAAUAUUUCCCUGCCCAUAAGAAGCAAGCUGCCUUGCAGGAAAUAUACAACUUUGCUCAACGCAAAGAAGAGAGUGUCCCACAAGCUUGGGGGAGGCUCAUCCAGCUACAUAAUGCUUUUCCUGAUCACCCUCUUAAGAAGAACGAGAUACUUGAUAUCUUCUAUAACGGACUUACCGAUGCCUCUAGAGACCACCUAGAUAGUUGUGUUGGUUGUGUUUUUAGGGAACGAACUAUCGAACAAGCUGAGAUCCUUCUGAAUAACAUCUUUAUCAACGAUAAUGCUUGGACUAUUCCUGAACCACCUCCUAAGACAACUCCUAAGAAAAGAGGUAUUCUAUUCCUCAGUCCCGAAGAUAUGCAAGAAGCCAAGAAAUACAUGCAAGAGAAAGGCAUUAGAUCUGAAGAUGUCAAAAAUCUACCACCUAUCGAAGAGAUCCAUGGUCUCGAUAGCCCGAUAAAAGUCGUAGAAGUGAAUUCUCUGCGUAGGUUUGAUGAGAGUGAUAUUCCUUUUGACAAACCUGCUAGCCUAUGCUUUGAUGAAUUUGACAACUUUGUUGCCAAACAACAGAGUUUCAAUGAUUAUGUUAGCAGACAUUUGGAACAAAGUACUCGUAUGCUUAGCCAUUUAAGUGCUUGUGUAGAUAGAAAUGUCAAUGACCUGAAGCUUGUGAGUAAACAUGCCUCUAUGAUUACUACUCAGGUAGAACAAGUACUUAAAGCUCAGAAUGACUUGCUCAAUGAAUUAAAUGACAACUCUGUCAGAGUCAUUACUAGAGGAGGCAAAAUGACUCAGGAAACUUUUUAUCCUCAAGGCCAUCCUAAGAGAAUUGAUCAAGAUUCUCAAGGAAUUAAUGCUGAUACACCCAGUCAUCCUAAGAAGAAGAAGAAGGAUGAUAGAAACCUACAUGCCAGUUCACCAAAUACUGUCACACCUGAAGAACCUAAUGAUAUUUCUGCAUCUGAUGCAGAAACACAAUCUGGUGAUGAACAUGAACCUGGUGACAAUAUGGACAGCGAUGUUCAUAAUAAUGCUCAACCUAGCAAUGAUGAGGAUGUGGAGAUUGAACCUAUGGUUAAUCCUGAUAACCCACAACCUAAGAGAUACGAUAAGAAUGACUUCACUGCUAGGAAGCAUGGUAAAGAAAGGGAGCCAUGGGUUCAGAGACCUAUGCCCUUUCCUCCUAAGCCAUCCAAGAAAAAGGAUGAUGAGGAUUUUGAGCGCUUCGUUGAGAUGAUAAGACCCGUCUUUCUGCAGAUGCAGUUAACUAAUAUGCUCAAAAUGUCUCCAUAUGCCAAGUACAUGAAAGAUAUCGUGACCAAUAAACGGAAGAUACCACAUCUUGAGAUCUCCACCAUGCUUGCCAAUUGCACUUUCAAAGGUGGAACUCCUAAGAAACUUGAUGAUCCCGGAGUGCCCACUAUACCUUGCUCCAUUAAAGGAAACUACGUAAGAACUGCCUUAUGUGACCUUGGAGCCGGUGUUAGUGUUAUUCCGCUCUCUCUUUAUCGUAGACUUGAACUGGAUAAGUUGGCACCCACUGAAAUUUCUCUGCAAAUGGCCGACAAAUCAACUGCUUUCCCUAUCGGCAUUUGCGAGGAUGUGCCUGUUGUGGUUGCUAACACCACUAUCUUAACAGACUUUGUUAUCUUGGAUAUUCCCGAGGACGAUGCCAUGACUGUCAUCCUCAGAAGACCCUUUUUAAACACGGCAGGGGCUGUUAUAGAUUGCAACAAAGGCAAUGUCACUUUCCAUGUCAACGGUAAUGAGCAUACAUUGCACUUUCCGAAGAAACGAUAUCAAGUACAUUGCAUUAAUGCUAUCGAAAAGACAUCAUCGAUUCUUAUUGGGAGCUUUGAAUGCCCUAUUCCUCGUGUCAAGAUGAAGUAUGAUUUGUUUGUUGGGGAGAUACAUAUCCCCAUUGAGGUGACUUACUGGCUAUUAGACAAUUCUCUGUUUCCUCUUGCGAUUCGAAAAGGUUUUGUCAUGAGGAUUUGAUCAACCCCAUUGACGGAUUUCUUUCGAUGACCAUGAAAUGGAUGAAUCAAAGAGUCACAUACCUCUGUUUUGUGCUUUCACUUUCUGUUGCUUAGAAGAAAAAUGAUAGAUUUAGUUUAGUUUUUCCUGUUUUUUGUUUUAGCGCCCCGGAGAAAAAUACCCCGAAAAUAAAAGUUCUCUGAUGGUCCUGAUAAUCUAGUAUGAUUUUUUCUGGAAUAUUUGAAAAAUACUGGGGCUGAGAGCUGGCCUGGGGGCCACACCAGUGGGCCACAAGCCCUGCAGCCGCCGCCCGCCUGGUGGCGGCUAGCAAGCUUGUGGAGCCCACAGGGACCCCCUCCACUCAUUCCAGCUCCUAUCCUCUUCUUCCACCUCCAAAAAAAAAUUGUUUCGCAGCUCAAACUCGUGUUCUUGCUUAUUUGGCUGUGAUUUUCGAUCUCCUUGCUCAAAGCACCAUUCUCCAAACCGUUUUGGGGAAAUUACUCCUUGGUAAGUUACUCCUCCAUUGGUCCAAUUAGUUUUUGCUCUAGUGCUUUAUCCUUCGCGUAUUCUUGCUACCUUGGUGACCCUGUUCUUGAGCUAGAAAUGUUGAUUUUAGUUGGUCCCAAGUAGUUUUAGCGCGUGAUACAGUCUCUAGGCCCUAGUAGGAGUAGUUGCUACGAGUUGGGUUAAUUCUUACUCACUUUUCUUUGGAAGUCUCUAAAAAUUUCAGAAUUUUUCAAAGCUAAAGAAAGGGAAAAGAUGAGGAGGUUCUUGAGAGGCUCUUCAAGCCGUAACCCCAAGGAGGAUGAGAAGAACCACCCCAAGUACGUGGUUCCUCGAGUCACAGAAGUUCGAGCGUGCGAGUGGCCAAGUGAUGAAUUUUUUCGCGCCGCUGGGCUUUAUGAAGACUUUUAUUACUUGGUGGAGAACGCAUGUCUUACCGCAUUCGUUGAAGAUAAGUGCUCACAAUACCUCCUCCUCACCAAUAUUUUCGUUCAAAGCUUCAACUUUUAUCCGAGGAAGAAUCCUCCCAUGGUUGAGUUCAUGUUAUACGACAUCCCCCAGUGCAUGACACUACAGGAUUUUUGCAAUGUAUGCAAAUUACCUUAUGUUGGGGAUAUCCGUGACCCUCGUCCACGGGACUUGGAGGAUUUCAUAGGCACUAUUGCUGUUGGAGAGGAGAGAGGAG
Molecule: long non-coding RNA, 61103 nt
Filed under: Hordeum vulgare
Lineage: Eukaryota; Viridiplantae; Streptophyta; Magnoliopsida; Poales; Poaceae
Description: long non-coding RNA (HVUL_LNC011772)
Source: RNAcentral